RNAcentral lists this long non-coding RNA (55172 nucleotides) under Capsicum annuum. RNAcentral's name for it is "long non-coding RNA (CANN_LNC009378)". Lineage: Eukaryota; Viridiplantae; Streptophyta; Magnoliopsida; Solanales; Solanaceae. The record is from RNAcentral.
AUAAAGAAAAUCCCACCCAAUACCCCAAAAAUAAAUUUUUCGCUAUAAUAAAAUUUGAAUAAAUAUAAGAAUAUAAAAUACAAUACAAAAUUAAAAGGGCCUGUUUGAAUGCAACUUCCGAUGAGUAAUCCAAAUAACCUGUAUAAACACUUGUAAAAAAAAUGUUAGUAACAAAUAAAUAAUAAUAAAAAUAAAUUGAACAAGUAUGUGUGCAUAUAAAUAUUAAAAAGAUAUUUUUUUUGUUAAAAGGUGGGCUCAGAUAAAGUCAUGACUGUGAAAUGAUUGCUCAAUUAAUUGGUCGUCCUAAAUCGUUUUGCUACGAAGUGGUUGCUCAAUUAAUUGAUCGUCCUAAAUCGUCUUGCCAAACUAUGAAUUGUAAAAUAUUGUAUUGUUAUAAAGUUUCAUCAUCGUUCAAAAAUAAUAUUUAUUUAUUACGUAUUUAUAUACGUAAAGUCCGUCUAUUAUUUACGGAGGCCUUAAAUUAAUAAUAAUUCUUCAUCGGUCAAUUAUGUAGUAUCUUAUUCAUUAUCAGCGUAAUAAAUAAAUACAGUUGAGCAAUGACAAAGCAAUCAGAAAUAGUAAGAGGGAAUAAAGUUUCUAGUCUAAUGACCCACUUACAACAUAAAACAACAUAAAACAAAUGCAAUUAUAGCCAAGCAGCAGUAUUCUGGCCAACAUAAAAAAAUAUCAGAACAAUUCAAAACAAUAACAUGGUAAGCAAAAUAAGAGAAGAAAACACCAUUUUUUCUUAUAGAUCAAGUAUUUAGGGGUGAUAACACUGGAGAAAACUCCAUGGUUUCCGGUGUUGCAGUGGAAAAGAGAGGAAGACAGUGGCGGUUUGAUGUUAUUUCAUGGCUAUUUUAGUGGUGGAAAGGUUGAGAGACGGUGGGAGUUCGUUGGGUAUCGUGGCGUUGUUCGCCGAUGGAGCAGCGGCGGGAAGGAGAUAAAAGGGGGGGAUUUCGUGGUGGUUUCUUUGAUUUUUUUUUGAUGGAUUGUAGCGGAGGGUGACUGGCGCGCAGUAGUGGCGGAGCUGUGCGGCUGGUCAGUGGGAAAAGAAGAGGGAAAGGGGAGUUACUGAUUUUUUUUUUGUAUGUUAGAGCGUAUGUUGUGUGUGUGUAUUUGUGUUCUAUGAGAAGAAAAAUGAAGUUUCGUGUGUAUGUGCCUUUUGAACGAAGAAGAAGGAAAAUGAGAAAAAAUGGAUUCUCCCUAUUCUGCAAGUGAGUGGGAUUGUAUAUCGGUGUUCUGUGUUCAUCCUCCGUCUGAUAGAUGGAUGGAUGAUAGGCUAUUUAUUUUGGGAAGAAAAUAUAAAAAAAAUGGUGGCUGUGUUGUAUGCUUAGUGUGUAAUAUAUCCGUUUAAAUUGAUCCGUUGUAAAAGAUGAUAAAUAUCAAAAUUUAAGAUUUUCUUUUGAUCUCUUUUUUACUUUUUAAAGAUCAUGAUUAUUGACUAGGUAAAAAAGCUAAAGAAAAAAAACCGUGUCCUUUCUGGUUUGUAUUGAUAUUCAAAAAGGGGGAAAUAGUAAAAUAAACAAGUCACACUUACUUUUCAAAUCUAAUUCCCUAAAUUAGGGAGAAUAGUUGGACAUAAUCCAAAAGUGACUGACACCUUGACUCUAAUUUAUUAUUUUUGUGUAUUAAAAUAAUUAAAUUAACUUAUUUUUGCAGGUUGUAUUAAAUAAUAUAUGUCGACGUAUAAUUAUUUAAAAAAAAAACAUAAACAAUAAAUAAUAAAAUAUAAUUAUAUUAGAAAAUGUAUUAUGUUAUGAAUAAUUAAAAUUAUAAUUAUGUAAAAGAAUUAUAGUGUUAUGUUAUGCAUGUAGAUGAUUGUGUAAAAGAUACUAAAAAUGAUAUCAAACUGAUAAAAAUUGUAAAAUAAUAAAAUUAAGGAUAACUAUGUAAAAAUUAAAAUAUGAUAAUAAAGUAAUAAAAUUCUAAAAUAAAGACAAUUAUCAGUAACUUGUCGGAUGUGAUAAGACAUUAUUGUGCGAUCCUUGUCAGAUGUGACAAAAAGUCAAAUUAUUAUACUGUUCAAAAUAAUUGAUCCGACUCAGCAUUUGCGGACUGUAAAAAUAUAGAAAUUGAUUUGUAAUUAUGAAAAAAAAUGUAACGAAUGUUAAAAAUAUUUAAAAUGUAAUUAAUUUCAAAAAUGUUAUAAAAAUGUGAUGUCAUGUACGUGUGCAAAUAUUUGUAAAUAAUAAAUUGAUAAGAAUUAUUAAUAAUUAUAAAGAAUAAAAAUAUAAAAAUAAAUUGAUAAAAUCCUAAAGUAAGGAUGAACAUCAAUAAAUUAUUAUCAAUUACAAAAAAAUAUGUGAAAAUUGUAUUUUGUGUCCUUUAAUGGUCAGGAAGCCUGAAUAUAUUAACUUUAAACACAAAAAGCAAAAAUUGGGUGUCAACAACUAUCUGAACAGUCACAUCUUUUCCAAAAUAAUAUAUUUUUUCCUUAAAAAUUGUGUCCCUCCAUUUUCCAUUCACAUCAAUUGAACCCAACAUUUUAAAACUUCUCAAUUUCUAGUUAAAGCAAACUAACAAUAAUAGCAUACAUAAAUGAUUGAUUAGAUAGACAAAUUUAUAUACAGUUACAGAUUGAAGACGUUGUGUAAUCAUAUUUAUGAUAAAAUUUCCGUAAAGAACACUUACUUCAAAACCCUUAUACGAAGGAACUCUCGUCAUCAUGCUCUUCACUUUCAAAGAGAAUAAAGCAAAGUAAGAAAUCUAAGAAAGAAAUAUCCAAACCUAAAUCAAACCAAACAAACUAUGAGAUAAAUAGACAGCGAAAUCAAUCUCCAAUAUAUUACCUUUUGUCAUAUAUAUAUAUAUAGUAUCACUACGUGCGUCGCACGUAUAUUUUAUCUUAUUUUUACAUACUAUGUAUGCCAUAUAUACUUAUGUAAAUUUUUGGCAUAAUACAAUAACCGUACUCUUUAACUUAGCCUCAACUACCAUCUAUAACCUAUAACUUUCGGUAUACACAAGUCGACACUUAAACUUGUAUAAAGUUUAAAAAGUAGGAACACAUAUUCUUCGUGACAUCUACAUGGAUAUUUCAGCAAAUUGCUACAUAGGAUUUGUAUGCCUACUUGUUCAACUUUAUACAAAUUUAAAUGCAUACUUACGCGGACUUAAAGUUGAAAGGUACAAAUAUCAGUUAAGACCAAAUUAAAACGUUCAUUUAUGCAUUAAAUUUAAUUUUUCUAUACAUACAUAUGAUAGAAAUAUAUCAUAUAGAUAUAAAUUAUUACAACUUUGAAUAUACCAAAAGUCAAGCAUUAUUUCCUAACCUUGAGACCUUUGAUGGAUAUAAUCAAAGACCAACUCUAUAAUGUUUUUUCGGCCAUUAAUUAAUUAAAUUUUGGUAGACCUCUCUUUUAAAUUUGAUUGGUCCAGGCAAUAGAUGAUUUGGAAAAUAAUAUUUUUUAAUUAAUUUUAUCAUCUUUAUAUCCUUCAUCCAUAUAUGUCAAUAUUGCCUUUCAAAUAUAAUUGUCCUUUCAAAUUUUAUUUGCUCUUUUUUAACACACACACAUAUGUGUGUUCAUGUAUGUCUAGUUUUUUUUCUUUCUUAUUUUAAUAUAUGUGGCUUUCACAUAAUUUUUAACUUCAUAUAUAUAUAUAUAUAUACUUCUUCAUUCCUAAUUUCUUGCGCUCUUUUCUAAAAAUAGAUAGUUCAUAAUGCUAUUUGUCAUUUCAAAAUAUUACUCCCUUCAUUCUAAAAUAAUUGAAUUAUUGGAGUAUGACACACUCCAUAAGAAAAAAUAAUUAGGACAUAAAUUGUAGGUUACUUUCCACUAUUAUCCUUUUAACUGUUUUUAAAUUACUAAAUCCUAGAAAAUAUGAAGUACUUAAGAAUCUUAUUAAAUAAAAAGGUAAAAUUGGAAGAAAUUUUCAACAUGUCUCUUGAAAAAUGAAUAAUUUAUUUAUUUUAGACACUGAAAAAUAAUUUAACAAUUUAUUUAUUUUGAAAUGGAGAAAGUAAAACACAAUUGACUACUAUUCUUUCCAUUUUAUCCUUGAGAGUAAUUUGCACUAAAACUUAAAAUUGACCAACGUAGAAAAUUUUAGUGAUUAAUUAACUCAUGCUCUUUAAUUACUUUUUUAAUAUUUUACUCAUUUCAUUGCAAGAUUUUAUGUGCAUUAAUGUUGAUUUAGUGUUCCAAAAAGCACAUUGGUCAUUUACCAAAGAUAUUAACAUACUAUUUAGUGUUCCAAAAAGCACAUUGGUCAUUUACCAAAGAUAUUAACAUACUUUUUAUUAAUUAAAGAGACAAUUAAAUAAGGCACGAUGGUAAAUAAGUGUUCCCUCCGUUUAGUUUUAGUUGGCCCUUAUUGAUUUGUCACAUUCCUUAAGAAAUUAUUUAAUAGAGACUUAUUUUACUAAAAUAACCCUAUUAAUUAUGCACUGAAAAUAUGAAUUUGAGUAAAUACACUUUAUUUAAUCAUUUAAUGUUGAGGGUAAUAUUGAAAGAACAUAAUAAAAUCCUCUUAAUUUCAUCAAAGUGACAACUAAAUUGAAACAAAUAUUUUUAAAAAAAGGGCCAACUAAAACGAAAUGAAAGGAGUACAUUAGAAACGAAGUGGGUAUAUAUUUAUAACUGUCCAGAUCUCUUUGGUCUUAAUUCUUUAUCUAAAGCUUGGAAAUAUGCAAUAGACAAGAAGAUUGGGAUAUUAUAGUCUAUUAUUGUCAAAUUAUUGUGGCUAAAGACGUUUCAUUUUCAAAAUUAUAUGUUGGUUUUAGAAAAAAAUUGUCCAAAUAAUGAUCAUUUGAAAUUUCAGAAUUAUUAAAUUACCAAAAUAUCUAACUUAUAAAUAUAAAAAAUUGAAAAAACUCUAUCGCUUCAUGAAUGGUUUAGUCAAUUGUCACAGUAAAUUAAAAUGUUCCAAAUCCAAGGUUCCAUACUUUACGACCAUUAUCUAUUCAAUGUGAUAUCAUAAUGUAAUUUCUUCUCUUUUGCACCAACUAAUGCAAUUUUGGAUUACCUUACAUAGUUUCUUUACAAGUUUCUAAAGAUUAGAAUAAAAUAUUGAUAGUCAACAAAAUCAAAGUCACUUGACCCAUGAUGUUGUGGAUACACCUAACAACAAAUUAACAAUUUUGUUACAACAUCACACAAAUCAAAUGGAGAGAGUUUCAUGAGAUUCAGUGAAUAUAACUGAUGAUGGAUAAUAAAACAAGUUUUAAAGAAUAGUUUUACCAUAUCGAGCUACAAAAACUUGAAGCACAUCAUCAAGGUGCUUCUUCUAUGUUAGUCUCUUCGAUGCUGAAAGUUGGCUAUAAUAUUUUACUCAUUACUUGACAUUGCCUCCUUAUUGGCCAUAAGAAAUUGAAAUAAUGGCAACUAAAUUAUGUAAAAAUUUAGUGUCCAUUACUUCUCAACCCAUAUUUAGAGAAAAAUAUAAAAACAAGUUACGAUAAAAAGCUAAAUAUGUAUAUAUUUAGGUUACUCCAAGAUGCGAAAACGUAAAAUCAACAAUACAAACCACCUUGAUUGAAGAAGUCUUGCAAUCCGUUGUGCUAUAUUGCAAACGACAGUAGUUGUAAUAGAAAAAUAAUUAGCUGUGUCUGCAUGAGGAUUUUGUAGGGAUAGUCAAUCUAAUUUUCUACAAGUUUAAUCUACUCAUCAUAUUCAUACCUCAUCAAUUUUUAGGAAAAAUUAUUUUCUAGUCGUCUACAAACUUUUUUAUACUUUAUUACAUAAGAUCUUAAUUUUUAUACAUAAGAUAUCUAAAAAGGUCAAUUUUUUCUAUUCAAAUUUUGAAAGAGCAAGAGAUCAUAUUACCUCUAAAAUUUCUUGGCAACUGUUUGCAAAAUAAACGUCUCACGAAUAAAUUUGAAGAUUGUUUUGUCUCUUGAUCAUGCCAUUUUUCGUUAAAUACACAAAAUUACAAUGAGGAGAGUAAUACGUGCAUAAGAAUAAAAACAAUACGGAAAGAUCAAGUAAAUUAGACCCAUUAAACAUUUAUAAAUCAGCCAAGUAAUUGUAAUUAGGAGGGUUUGAACAAAAAAAGAAGUCAUGAAAGUUAGUACCAACCAAAAAAUUUGUAUGUCAUACCACUUUUUCAAUGACAAAAAGAAGAUGUCUUGCUCUUUCGAUUAUGGACUGGUGCAGAGUAGAAGUGUGAAGCGGCAGAGUGUGAUGCAAGAAAGAGCGGACAGGCGCAUAUUACUCUAAAUAGAUUAUGAAAGGUUGGGAAUUCUUUGUAGGGUUGGGUUUUUUAUUUAGAUAAUAAGGAGGGUUAUUUUAUAAUUUAACUUUUCAUUUAUGUUGUAAAGGUUUAACAAUACAAUAUUAUUUAUAACAAAUAUUGCAAAAUUAAUUUGUCCAAGCAUUUGAUUGCAUUGGAAUUAGUUUAAAUACAUGAAAAAUAAAACUUACCAAUUUUGUAAGACAUAUAUAUAUAUAUAUAUAUAUAUAUAUAUUCUAUGCACGUUAAUGGUUUGACAUAUAAGUUUACAAGUAAUUAUUUACACAAGCACCUUUUGGCCUAUGGAUGUGUCAAAUAAUUUAAUAACCUCAAAAGAACACACCCGUUCGGUUUGUAAUGUAGAUACAAGUUUUUUUUUUUAAAAGACGUGGCAAUUAGAUUUUAAAAAAGGAUAUUUUAGUAAUUUCACUCAGCUCAACACUCUUCUGACUAUAAAUAAGAGCAACAACAACAAUGUAAAGCUAAUGAAUCAAUAAAGUUCAAUUUCUCUUUUACAUUUUCCUCCAUUGAACAUGAAUGAUCUAGCUGUUGUGCUAGAAUUUCACAUGGUACCAGAGCCAAGCGCUCAGUACUGAGAAGAUUCAGUUAACUUCUCAUUCUAUUAUAUGCAAAUCUCGAGGAGUUUGUGUGAUCUCUAUUAUCAGCUUCUUCUUCUCGAUUGAAAUCUAAAAUUGUGUAAUCUCUGUUCUCGACUUCUUCUUCUCGGUUGAACUCUAUUGUUGAUUCAGUCUGUUCAGCCAUGGCACCAAAGAUUGAUCAAAGUGAUCCACUUUUUAUUGGUACUUCAGAUAGCUGUAAUGUUGUACUCGUUUCCAUCAGACUCACCGGUUCAGAAAAUUACAACUUGUGGAGUUGUUUAAUAUGCAUUUCACUCUUAGAAAAGAGAAAGUUUGAUUUUUGUCACUAGAUCUACAGCAAGGACUCGUACAGGGAGGAACUUCAUGAGUAAUGGGAGACAUGUAAUCCAAUUGUCUUAUCCUGAAUUAUGAACACAGUCAUUGAGAGCCUGCUAUAUGGCAUUGUUUAUGCUACAAAUGCUUGUGCUGUCUGGAAAGAUCUGAAAGAGAGAUUUGAAAAAGCGAAUCGUAUACGCAUCUAUCAGUUGCACCAUGAAAUCAAUAUGCUAUCUCAAGGUACUGAUUUAAUUUCAGUUUAUUUUACCAAAUUGAAAAGUUUGUGGAGUGAUUAUGAUUUGUUGGUUCCUAAUUCUAGCUGUGAUUGCCCUAAGUCUAAGGAAUAUUUAGAUUAUAUGUCAAUUGAGACGCUUACAGUUUUUGAGUGGCUUAAAUAAGUCCUAUGAUCAAGAUCGAAGACAAAUUUUACUCAAGGGUGUAACUCCUACUAUCUAUCAAGCUUAUGCCAUGCUUGUUGAGGAUGAGAUCCAACAUUCCUCUUGUAUGCUUACAGUACAUGAUAGAUCAGAACCACUAGCCAUGCAGGUGAAUCGAAAUUAUGGUUCUUAUAGUUAUGGGCAAGGAUGUUCCAACUACAAAGGAAGAAAGUGUGAUUAUUGUCACCUCUCAGGUCAUACCAAAGAGUUGUUAUAAACUGAUUGGCUAUCCUACUGAUUGGAAGAAUAAAAAGAAACAAGGGUACAUUACGGCUAAUCCCAGGUCAUAUAGUAGCGGUAACAACUAUUUCUCAUAUGGUAGUGGCAACCACAUAGCUGGUAAGCCUUCUCAAAUACCCAACGUGGUAGCAGGACAAGUUGAUAUUGCCGGUUCAAGUCAUGAUCAGGGACCUGCACCACUGGCAAAGGCUCAUACAAUUACAGAUGAAGAAUACUCUAAAAUUAUGAGCAUGCUGAGCAAGGACACCAAGGAUAUGAAACAAGUCAACAUGACAGGUAUAGCCACUUAUUUUCUGUCCAAAACUUGUUCUGACAAUGGAUUGUGGGAUUAGGGGACACACAUCAUGUGGCUACACACAAACACAUGUUUAGAAAUAGUACAAUCCUAGUAUCAAGUCAAAAGGACAAACUACGCCUUCCUACUGGUGAUGAAGUAAACAUUUAUCAUAUUGGAAAGGCUUAUGUAUUUUCAUGUGGUGUGAUUAAGGAUGUUCUUUUUGUCCUAGACUUCAGACUUAAUCUAUUGUCUGUUGCUAAGAUAACGAAGGAACUCUCUUAUUUUGUUUCCUUCUAUCUUGAUUUUUAUGUAUUUCAGGACCUCUUCAGUGACAAGGUGAAGGGGAUUGUAGACUUUAUAUACUUAGAGAAGAAUGGAAAGAUAACAUUAUGGCACAAAAGACUUGGAUAUCCAGCUUCACAGGUUCUGAGAUCAUUAGAUUUUUUGAAGAGUCAUAAUGAUAUAGAUAUGUUGAAUAAAUGUACAGUAUUCCCACUAGCUAAACAUACAUGAUUAUCAUUCCCUCAUAGUACUUCAAAAUAUUCAACAUAUUUUGAGCUUGUACACAUGGAUCUUUGGGGCUCUUAUAAAAAUGCUACUUUUGAUAAUAAGUACUGUUUUUUGACUAUGUUUGAUGAUUACAGUAGAUACACUUGUAUACAUAUGUUACAACUGAAUUUUGAAGCCAUAGUGGCUAUUAAGACCUUCAUAUCUAUGAUCAAGACACAAUUUGGAGUAUUAAUAAAGAUCAUAAGGUCUGACAAUGGGAUCGAGUUUAUCAAUUCUCAAUGUCAUGCAUUGUUCCAGUCUUUGAGAAUUUUGCAUCAAACUAGCUAUCGCCGCACUCCACAACAAAAUAGAGUUGUGGAGAGGAAGCACAGACAGAUACUAAACAUAGCUAGAGCUCUACAAUUUUAAUCUCAUUUUCCAAUUAAGUAUAGAAGAUUGCGUGUGAAGGCUGUUGUAUACAUUAUGAAUAGGCUACUAUCCUUCAUUUUAAAUGGUAAAAGCCCAUUCCAUCUGUUAUUCUUCAAGGAUCCCAAACUUUCUAGCUAAGGGUGAUUGGAUGUCUAUGUUAUGUCACAGUUGUUCCCAGAGGUGAUAAGUUUUCUGAAAGGGCAAAACGUGUUGUGUUAGUAGGAUAUUCGGAGUCUCAAAAAGGAUACUUACUUCUAGAAUUGCAAUCCAAAAAGUUGAUUGUUAGUAGAGAUGUUGUGUUCUAAGAAGACACAUUCCCAUUUGAUCCAUCACAGAAGGACUUACAGCAAGCAACAACUUCCAAGGCUGGUAAAGAUUUCACUGAGUUGUUAAACUCCACAGAUGAUGAUAUUUCUUAUGACAUUCCUGAUGAGCAUAAUUCCAUUGAAGCUGAUGUUCUUACUAAUACUACUACACCUGAUCUAGAUAUACCUGGCACAAGUAAUAGAGAAGAUAGUCCAGUUGAUCCCCCCUUGACUCAAACAUCUACCUGCAGGCCUACUAGAACUGUUAGACUACCUGUGUGGAUGCAUGACUAUGUUAAUACCUCUAAGAGCCAAAGAUAUAAGUAUCCCUUAGCCAAAAACUUAUUUUACAAAAAAAUGAGCUUUACUUAUCAAUGUUACUUGUCAAAGUUCUCCAAUUUAACUGAACCCCGGCACUUUAAGCAAGCUGUAAAGGAUAACAUAUGGGUGGAAUCUAUGAAGUCAGAAAUCCAGGUAUUGGAGGCUAAUAAUAUAUGGAGUAGUUUUGACUUGACCAAAGGCAAAAACACUGUAGGUUCCAAGUGGAUAUACAAAACAAAAUAUUUUGUAAAUGGGAAGAUAGAAAGGUUUAAAGCAAGGUUAGUGGACAAGAGAUAUAGCCAGUUUGAAGGGCUAGAUUAUCAUGAAACAUACUUACCAGUUUUUAAAAUGGUAAUAGUUAGGUAUGUAAUUGUUGUAGCAGUAUUUAAUGGCUGGACUCUUCAUUAGAUGGAUGUCUAUAAUACAUUCUUACAAGAUAUGGAACUACCUAAAGGUUUCAAAAAAUAUGGUAAGAAUAGAGUUUGCAAGUAACUUAAAUCCAUGUAUGGUCUCAAGCAAGCUUCCAGACAAUGGAAUCUCAAACUCACUAAUCCCUUACUUGAUGUUGGGUUCACACAGAGUGCUCAUGAUUAUUCUCUCUCCACUCUACAUAAAGGUUCUGAUACAGUGAUAGUUUUGGUGUAUGUUGAUGACCAACUCAUUACUGGUAGAAACAGUACUUUGAUUAAUACAACCAAAGGCAAGUUACAUAAGCAGUUCAGAAUGAAGGAUUUGGGUGAUCUCAAGUACUUCUUAGGUAUUGAGAUCCUCAGAUCAGCUUCUAGGGUGAUAUUAAAUCAAAGAAAGUACAUCCUUGAGUUAAUUUUUGAUACAGGUCUUAGUGGUUCUAAGCCUCCCCUCACCCCUUUGGAGUCUAAUCUCAGAUUGAAAACACUUGAAUAUGAUCAUUCCACGGGUUUACAAGGAGAUAAGUUGUUGUCUGAUGUUUUUUCUUAUCAAAGACUGAUAGGUAAGUUCAUGUAUGCUACUAUCACAAGACCUGAUAUCAACUUUGCUGUCCAAACUCUCAUCCAGUUCAUGUAACAUCCUAAGAACUCACAUUGAGAGGCUUCUACUAGAAGUAGUAAGAUACCUCAAAGGUUCAGUUGGUCAAGGCAUUUGGUUAAAAGCUGAUCCUUCUACCACUCUCACUUUUUGGUGUGACUCAGAUUGGGCUGCAUAUCCUAACACUGGAUAUGCUAUUCUUGGUGGAUCAUUAGUCUUUUGGAAGUCCAAGAAACAAUACACUAUGUCCAGAAGUUCUGCUGAAGCUGAAUAUAGAAGCAUGGCUUCAGCAGUUGCAGAGAUAACUUGGCUAGUUGGAUUGCUUUAGGAAAUCAAUAAUACCAUUACUCUGCCCAUUUUAGUGUUUAGUGACAGCCAUUUAGCUAUACAAUUAGCCAAUAAUCCUGUGUUUCAUGUGAGGAAAAAACACAUUGAAAUAGAUUGCCAUUUCAUAAUGGAAAAGAUCAAGAAUGGCUUGAUACAGGCUACUUAUGUUCACAUUCAUGAUCAGGUUGUUGACCUUAUCUUUAAGGGUUUAAGUCAAGUCAAGCUCAACAUGCACACUUAUUAGGCAACCUUAGUAUGCUUAACAUAAUGCACCCUGCAGCUUGAGGGGGAGUGUUUCAACACAUAUAUGUGAUCGCUGCAUCACUACAUCUGUAUAUGUAAAUGUACUGUAUUGAUAUUGAUAAAGUAGUUAGUCAGUUGGUUGUUUGGUGAGUUACAGAGUUAUUUAAAGAAGUUGCAAGGUAAGUUGUUAGGUUGUUAGUCGGUUAUGCUAAGCUGUCAAUAAGCUGGAUAGAAGCUCACUCAGCUCAGUUCUCUUCUGCCUAUAAAUAAGAGCAACAACAACAAUGUAAGCUAAUGAAUCAAUAAAGUUCAGUUUCUCUUUUAUAUUUUCCUCCAUUGAACAUGAAUGAUCUAGCUGUUGUGCUAGAAUUUCACAGAUCUUUUCAAGGUAACACUGUUUUGUGCAGUAUGGUGCAAUCUUCAGUAUGUCUAUGAAUUUGAUGUGUGAUUGAGUGCUUUAGUAUUUUCUUAAACACUAACUGAAAAAAAUGAAGUUUAACGCCCAAUGUUGAAACAUGUGACCAUCUCAUCUAAAAAUUAAACAGCUAAAUGGAACAUAAUUUUGUUUACUUCAUUAUAUUUUUAACGUAAAACCUAUCGAUAAUAAGUGUUAGUGUAACAUCUCAGACCCAUUACUUAUCCUACAAGGGCAAUUUCAUCCUUUCAUUUUUACCUUUACUUCAAGUAAAUAAAACCCUUUUAAUUAUCAAUUUUCAUACCUUCUUUUCCUAUAAAACUUUGUUUUUCCAGCCAAAUAACAUCCCUUUAGUUUCUAUCAAUUAAUAUGCAUUAAAACAAGUCCCUCUAUUUUCCUUUAACUCAUACGAUAAAAAGCCUUACUUUUCCCAUUAGUUUUUAGAAGUUCUCCAUUAGCUAUAUCCCUUUUCCUUUUCUCAAUCACAACUCCUAAGAAACACAAAAGAAUUGGUAAGAAUCAUGUUUGAAUUCCUUCUUUCAAUCUCAAGUUCUUUCAACGUUUAAAGAGGUAUGUAGAACUUUCUCUUGCUCAGGAUUCUGAAUAUUUUUCUGUUUGGUAAUCUUCUUCCCUCCACAUGGUUUGGUGUUAUUAACUUGAUGUGUGGAUUAGGAACUUGGUGUUUGUAUAGAUUAUGAAUUCUCACUAUUUGCUUAGUAAUUCUGAGAAAUUCUGAAAUUUGAGUCUGCCAGUAGAGUCAAAGCUCAUGUUGGACACUCUCUGUAAAACUCAAUUGUUGUAAUUGUUAUAUUUCCAAAGUCCUUAGUAGUCUCAAUCAAAUAACCUUGAUGAUAAUGUGAUACACGAAAUAAAGAUUGAAAGACAUCACAUAGUUGGAAAUGGGGAUUAAAAGAAGUUUAGUCUAGAUCAGCAACUAGUUCUGGAAAAUAGUUACAACUGCCAAUUAGUUAGACAUUUUUUACUGUUCAUGCUCAUUCUCAAUUCUGUUAAAAGUUAGUUACAAAUGUGUUCUUAGUGUAUUCCAUUUUCCUUGAUAUAUAGAGAACAUGCAAAAUGAAGGAUCAUAAUAAGAAAUGUCAGUUUCCCUUUUAAAAUUCUCUCUAUUCUAUUCUCUUCUUUCUCUUCUCUUUUCUUCUCAAUUCAUCAUCUUAAGCUGAAAUCUUAAACACGAUUCCUGAAUCAAACUACAAAUCUUGAGUUAUCAUCUGUAACUUCUACAUUUGUAUAACAUUAGUAUAAGAGCCAGUCGAUUUCUUAGCAACCAUAAUGAAAACAGCAAGAUCCAUUGAUAGUUCUUCAGCUGAAAUGGGAGACAUAAGGGAUAUGCUAUAGAAAUUAAUGGCGGAUAUGGGAACUUUAACAGGGAAAGUUACUAGCUUGAAAAGAUUGGAUCAAGUAGUGAUGGAAUUGAAAGAGAUGUUGGUGCAAUCUAGAAAAAAUAGGAGGGAGAAAUCUCUUUUAGGUACAGAAGGUCCUUCUGGACCUCGACAUUCAGAAGAAAAAGGGCAAGAUAAAAGCCCUGCAAGUUAUAACACUCACAACUCCAAUUUCUCAAGAUGGUCUAGAAUGGAUUAUUUGAGAUUUUUUGGGGAUGCUUUACGAUCCUAGUUUUUCAAAAUUGAACAAUUCUUCUCUAUGGAAAAUGUUUCUAAUGAGGGUAAGGGUUAUAUUACAGCUUUGCAGUUGGAGGGAGAAGUCAUUCAGUGGCAUCUAUCUUGUAUAAGGUAUAGACAAUAUUUGCAACCACCUACAUGAACUGAGUACGUAAUGGCUAUGGUGGAUAAGUUUGGUACUGACUUUGAUGACCCUAUGGAGGAGCUAAAACAGAUCAAACAGGUGGGGAGUGUGAAAAAAUAUCAAGUUGUAUUUGAGAAGCAUUUGACUAGGGUUAAAUUGUCUGAAGAAAAUACUACUAGUUGUUACAUUGGGGUUUUAAAAACUGACAUGAACAUUGUUGUGAAGAUUUCUCAACCUACAUAAAUUUCAUAGGUGUAUAAGAGUGUGAGAAUGCAAGAAACAUAUCUUACUGCCAUCAAACCAUCCAGUGGAUUCCAUAGUCUCAACACAUCUAAGAGGUCAACUGAGCACAGGUUGUAGAGUAAACUAGGACUAUUAAAAACUCCAACUAUUGGUUAUGCAGGGCCAUAAAAAAUUGUUAACAGGAGAACAUUAAGUAUUGAAGAAAUGAAUGACAGGAGAUCUAAAGGUCUUUGUUACUUUUGUGAUGAGAGGUACACUUUUGGUUAUAAAUGCACGACUGUUAAGCAGUUAUACUUGCAAUAGAGGAGCAGGAUGAGGGUGGUGAUGACCAAAUUUUGGAAAUGUUAGACCCUAAAGAAAUUCAAGAAGUGGAGAUGACCAAUACAAUGGAGCAACUGGAAAUUUCUAUUCAUGCUUUAAAUUGUUCCUUAGGAUAUUGGACCAUGAAAGUGACUGGCUAUCACUUUAAAAAGCCUUUACACAUCUUGAUUGAUACUGGUAGCUCACACAACUUUAUUGACCCUGCGCUAGUACAACAAUUGGGGUGCCUCAUCAGAUCAGUUCUUCCUAAAAAAGUUGCAGCAUCAAAUGGAAAUGACAUGCAAGUUGACAAGAUGUGUACUAUAUCUUGGUUAUUACAAGAGCUGAGUUUUUAGUUGAUUUCUUGUUGUUACCACUAGGUUCUUGUGGGGGAUGGUGGUUUAGGGGUUCAGUGGCUUCUCAUGUUGGGGGAUAUUAAGAUGAAUUUCAAGAAACUCACCAUGGAAUUCUACUAUAAAGGGAAGAAGCAUUGUCUCAGAGGUGUAGGAAGUCAAGUCACAGCCUCAGGAGCUGGAAAAAUGGCUAAGUUUUUAGGUAAUCAGUCUCAACUAUACAAAAUCCAAGUAGUUCCUUUUAUGAAUAGUGAUGCACAAUGGUAUGCCAUUGAAACUAAGGAACAACCUAAAACAGAUGCAAGGUUAUUAAGUCUAUUGGUACAGUUUCAAUCUUUGUUUACAGAACUUACUCAGUUACCACCUUCUAGAGGUGUUUUUGAUCAUAGGAUUGUGUUAUACCAUGGUACUGAACCUGUAAACAAGAGACCAUAUAGAUAUCAAUUUGUGAAAAUGGAUAUCAUUAGAGGUUUAAUAUAACAAAUGUUGAAUCAAGGGAUCAUAUAACCUAGUUGUAGUCCUUUUGCUUGUCCGAUUGUUUUAGUUGGGAAGAAGGAUGGUUCUUGGAGGAUGUGUGUGGAUUAUAGAGAUUUAAAUAAACAUACUGUCAAGAACAAAUUUCCAAUUCCAAUUGUUGAAGAAUUGUUAGAUGAGUUAGGAGGGUCCAAGAUCUUUUCUAAGAUUGACCUCAAGUCUGGUUACCAUUAGCUGAGAAUGGCAGAGUAGGAUGUGCCUAAAACAGUUUUUAGGACACACUCAGGUCAUUUUGAAUAUGCCCUUUGGUUUAUCAAAUACACCAGCAACUUUCCAAGGACUUAUGACUUUUGUAUUUCAACCCUUUAUGCGUAAAUUUGUCUUAGUCUUCUUUGAUGAUAUACUUGUAUAUAGCAAGAGCUUGGAAGAUCACUUGUUGCAUCUUACAGUUGUUUUUGAAGUCACGAUGCAACACCAACUAUUUGUUAAAGAAGUAAAUGUUUCUUUGGGGUAUUGAGAAUUGAGUAUCUUGGCUAUUUUAUUACUGAGCAUGGAGCAUCUACUGUUCCUCAAAAGGUGAAUGUUGUGCAAAAUUGGCCUGUUCCUACUGCUCUUAAGCAAUUAAGAGGAUUUUUUGGAUUAGACGGCUAUUAUAGAAAGUUCAUCCAGGGAUUUGGUAUAAUUACUAGACCAUUAACUGACCUCUUAAAGAGGGACAAGUUCAAAUGGUCUAAUGAAGCAGCUACUGCAUUUGAAACUCUUAAGGAAAGACUUACUCAGGCUCCUUUUUUAGCUUUACAUGAAGUUACUAAGCUAUUUAUUAUGGAAACUAAUUCAAGUGGGACUAGUAUUGGUGUUGUUCUCAUGAAAGAGGCCCAUCCUAUUGCUUUUAUUAGCAAAGCUCUUACCCCUAAACAUGCAGCCAUGUUAGUAUAUGAUAGAGAGUUAUUGUCUAUUCUGCAAGCUGUUACCAAAUGGUCACAAUAUCUUUUUGGUCAAAAGUUUGUCAUUAGAACUGAAUAGAAAGCUUUGAAGUUUUUAAUGAAACAAAAUUUGCAUACUAACUCUCAACUCUUGUGGUUGACUAGAAUAAUACCAUUUGACUACACAAUUGAAUAUAGGAGAGAGGUGGAAAACAAAGUGGUUGAUGCUUUAUCAAGGGUGACAAGGGCUGAACUUAUGUCAUUGGUGCUAUAUGCUGCUACUUGUGAUCUUUUCCAGGCCAUAAUUGAUUGUUAGCAGGUUGACCAUGAGACACGAGCAUGGAAAUGGAGAUUAAAAGAAGUUUAGUCCAGAUCAAAAAUUAGUUCUGGAAAAUAGUUAUAACUGCCAAUUAGUUAGACAGUUUUUACUGUUCACUGCUCAUUCUCAAGUCUGUUAAAAGUUAGUUACAAAUGUAUUCUUGGUGUAUUCCAUUUUCUUUGAUAUAUAGAGAACAUGUAAAAGAAGGAUCAUAAAAAGAAAUAUCAGUUUCUCUUCUAAAAUUCUCUCUAUUCUACUCUCUUCUUUCUCUUCUCUCUUCUUCUCAACUCAUCAUCUUGAGCUGAAAUCUCAAACCCGGUUCUUCGAUCACCCUAAAAAUCUCGAGUUAUCCUCUAUAACUCCUACAUUUGUGUAACUUAAUGAAUAUUGUCUUAUAUUGGGUUUUCUAUCUGAAGUAUGUGUAAUUUAGUUAAGGCUACCGAACUUAUAGCUAAUGAUUUAAAUUUCUCUGUUUCUAUUUGAUGUCUUAAACAACUGGUGAUAUGUUGCUUGGCUGAUGCUCUACAGUAAACUGUGCUGGCUCGUUAUUCAUGUUUGUGAUAUACAUCUAUUGGUUAUAGUGGUUCAAUUAGAAUUAACAUCUGCGAGCAUGAUUCGCUCUCUGUAAAUGUGUUUUAGUUGUAAAUUGCUACCUUCACCGUAACUUAUAAACAUAGUUCCCUCAAGAGAUAUGGAAGUCAUGUUCUUAGUUGUAGUAAGUCUUUCAUUAAGGUCCUCCAACACUUGUUUUUGGCUCUGCAGAUAAUCUACUUGAGUCAACUAACUGUUUUCCAUUGGCUUCAAUAGUUGUUGUACUUCUGUGAGUUGUUUAAGAUAUGAUAUGGAAGGUAACUCGCUCAGUUCUUCCAUUCCAGCAGGACAAAUUAAAGUGAAACCCUUAAUAGAAUGUUUCUUAACUCUUCCAAAAAGCCAUAAAAUGGUACCAAAUGAAAAUCUUAUGAAAUCAGAGUAAUUAAAUUCCCAACAUAAGCCCAAAAGGCUAAAUUAUGACAUGAGCCUAAAAAGGCUAAAAGCAUAAUCCUAAUAUGACUAACACUUUUAACAUAAAUAAAUAAGAUAACGUCAUGAGCAUAAGAGAGUUAGUUAGCCAAUCGUGAAGACAUAGGUUUAAACGACAAAUGUCCGAAACUAUAUUUGCUGAUAUAGGAUAGAGAUUACUCUGCAAGUCGGAUGACCUUUUUUUUUCAUGUUUUCCGAAAAAAGGGCUAACCAUGGAUACUUGCUAGCAAAUUAUGUCAUGUCACGUCCUGUGCUCGGCAAAAUAUAUAAUGGCUUAGCUGAUCGGGCCGAAAUCAGACUCCAUGAGCUCACAUGGUGGUUUAUGACGGUUCACUACUUUCUCCCACAAAUAAUCAAAGAAAUUUAAUCUGCCUUUCUUGGUAAAUUAUAAAUUUAGUUUAUAUUCUUGUUCUUUUCUAGUUUUCUUCACUUACAUUUGAGUUUUAUUGUCAUUUCUAACCUCUUGCCGUACUACCUUUCUGAAAUGGUUUGCAUACCAAUACAUUCUACGUAUUACAUUUGAGUUUUAUUAUCAUUUCUAACUUCUUGCUAUACUACCCUUCUGAAAUGGUUUUACUUACUAAUACAUUCUAUGUAUUGAUCGUCUUUGAUGCUACAUCGUUACAUGAUGUAGAUUCUGGCUCUCAAGUCAGGUGCCUCAUUAGGAUCUCUAUCUUCUGUCAUUGGUGAGCCUCUUACCUAGCAGGAGGAUGGACGAGAUGUGAUGACUUCUUUACAUUUUCUUUCCUUUCAGUAUUGGUACCUAUUAGAGGCUUAACAAGUUGGUAUAGUUGUCAAACAAACUUUGUAAUUUUCAGUCAUUAUUUAUUGUAACUAUUAGUAUUGUCAGAUAUCAUGCGGUGUUAAUAAACUUUGAUGAAGUUUUAUCCCUUGAGAAAUUCAAAUAUAAAUCUUAUAUUAUCUGCUUUAUUCAUUUGUAUUAGAAGUAUGCUGGGGUGAUAUGCCAGAACAUUCGCUCAUACUAGCGAUAGUAUCGGGUGCAAUGCCACGUCCUGGACCCGAUUCGGGUCGUUACAGUUGGUCAUCAAUCGUACUUUCUGCUAGGUUGAUUUUUGAUUUUGAAGAGUAACGUGCAGUUGCUUUUACUGCUAAUUAUCUAGAUAGCUGAAGUUAUAUCCACAGCUCACAAUAAUUUUCCACUGUUCUAGUCCUCAUAACAACAAAGAAAACAGUGAAUGCUAAAACCUGUUUGCAUAAAGCUAUAAUUGUUAGGAAUACUCCAAUUAGCUAUUCUGAAAUGUCUGCACUUGCAAUAAAGUAGUUUCUCAACCUCUCUUGCUCCAUACAUGUAAAGUUAUUCAAUUCGACAUUCUUUAACUUACGCCUCAAGCAUUUCCCAGGUAGAGCUGCAGAACAAGGCUGCUCAACUUUAUCUGAUGCAUCUUCAUAUAUGAACUGUCAAACAAAGGAAAAUCAGACAUCAUUAACUAUAAAGUAUGAACAACAGGAAGAAAGGUAAAAAAGACGCGUCAUACAGAAUCAAUCAUGAAAGCAGUAUUAGAAAGGUUAACAUUCUAGUAAGGAUUAUCUGAACGAAGGGAUCACCUCAGUGAGUACAAUAAAUGGGUUCUUGUUAAUGAACAAAAUACUAAAGGAACCAGCAGCACCAGGUGAAGCUAAGGUUCACAAAUCACUGGAAUAGCCAGUGGGUGACAAAUAAAAGGGGGUGACUUUUGUGUUUCCCUUUUCCCUUCUUAUACACACAUAGGACUAUCAAUUGAAGUAAUAGUUGGAAACUUAUUUUUCCUCAAAACUAUAAGCAAGUUACCCAGUCAAAUAGCAAAACAGAGUUUUUGCUGCAAUUUGUACAUGUAUGGCUGGAAACAGAUUAAACCACCCUGUCCCUAGGCGGGACAAAAGGAGGAAACAGUCACGCUUCAUGCAAUCAGGUAAGACCAAAACAAUGUUCAGACUGAGCAAAUAAGAGGAGCAAAUGACGAGCAUAAUGAAUUUUUAAGGCUUGAAUUCCUUGGUUUUACACUAUUCUUGUUGAAGUUGAUCAACUACAUAUAACUUCCACUUUAUCCAAUGGCAAUAAUUUGUUUAGUAAUCUCAAAUCAGCAAGAGAAGCAAAAGCCAUUAACCAGUCAAUAAACAAUGUAUCUAAAUACGCUAAAUACCUAGGUAACCCCUUAAACUUGUCAAAAUUUGUAUGUCAGAUAUCUAAGUAUGGAUAGAUAGACAUUUUAACUUGACAUCUACGUGUCACUUGAACACAGAGGCGGACCCAUGUGGCACCGUGAGGGUGCACGUGCAUUCGGUAACUUCGUACAAAAUUACCGGUUCGAGACUCAAAGUUGAGCAUCCUUCGGAACUCGACAUCGCGGGUUCGAUUCCCAAAGCCCAAACAAUAUUGCCUUAUUGGUGUAUUCCCCCCAAAUCCCUAAAAUUUCCCUUUUUCCAAACCAAAAGUCCCUUCAAACAAAUUUUUCUUUCUUCCAAGUUCAUCCUUACAUUACCUUUAUUCAUCAUAAUUUUGUGGCUAUUGACGAUAACCUAUCAUAAAUUCUUUACUAUUAAUUACUUUUUUCCUUACUCAUGAAUCGUCUAUUUUGUUUCUGCAUCACUAGAUAAAAAUUAGAUGCUCAUGGAUAUUAACAUGCUUUUUAAUUGAAAUGGUAAUAGAUAAAAUAAGAUUUUUUUUUUUAUUUCUCAAUUUAAAGUAUUAAUAUUUUUUCAAAAUUCUAAUUGCAACCUAUGGAAGGAGAAGUGUGGAAAAUUUCAGAAAUGACAACUAUAGAGUAUUAAUUGUAACUUUUUUAGCAACAGUUUCAUAAUUACGAAAAAUAACAAAUUGUAUUUUGUAUUUAAGUAAAUUAUUGUUAUUCAAAUACAUGUACAACAAGAUUUACUGCUCUUGUUUUACUCAAAUUAGUUGAGUUAAAUAAGAAAUAAUUAUCGCAUCUAAUUAUAUUUCCAUAAAUUACUCUUAUUUAAAUUAGUAGAUUCCUUUUCCAAAUCAAACUCAAAUAUGAAGAUUAUUAUUUUCAUGAUUUUCAAAAUAUCAUUCUCUUAUAUCUCUAACUAUUUUUUCUUGUUAGUUUUUUUUUUUAAUUUUUAAUUUUAAUUUUCUUUUCUUUUUCAUUUUUUUUCUUUCCACUUUAUUUUCUCUCUUCUACUUCUCUUUUUUUUUUCUUUUUUCAUUUUUAAUUUAUUUUUUUCUUUUUUUUGUUUUCCUUUUUAUUUUCCUCAAAAAAAAUUCAUUUUCUUAUUUUUUUAAAUUUUUUUUCACUUUUAUUUUUACACUUCUAUUUUUAGUUUCUAUUUCUCUUACUUCUUUUUUUUUAUUUUCCACUUCUUCUUUUUCAAAUUUUUAUUUUUCGUUUUUGUUUUUUUCUAUUUUUUUUCCUUUUUUUAUUCUUUAAUCUCUAUCUUUAUUUUUAAAAGGCAAAUAUCUAUAUCAUAUAUACAUAUUCAAACAAUAUACAAAAUAAAUAAACAUACUGAAUUGCAUAUGUAUAUACGGUAAAAAUCAUACAUAUAUAUCUGCAUAUGUAUUUACAGAAAUACAUAUCUGACUCAUGUAUAUAUAAACAUAUAGGACACAAAAUCUCUAUAACAAAAAUGACAAUUUAUACAUAUACAUAUAGGUAAUAAAAAAAUACAUGAUACAUAUUUUAAAUAGUAAAAGAAAACAAAUAAGUACAUAUGUUACCCUCUAAAAUGACAUAGUAUGUACAGUUCAAAGACAAAUCCAACACCGUAUAAAAUAUAUAUAGCUCUGCAGAUGUAUUUACAGAAUACAUAUCUGAUCCAUAUGUAUAUUCUUAUUUUAUAUGAGUCACCUUUGUAUUUCGCAAAUACAUAUGAAGAUAUAUAGUAUAGUUAUGUUUGUUACUAUUUAAUAUGAAUAUGAUAUGUAUUUCGUAAAUACAUAUGUAUAUUUUGUACUGUAAAUACAUAUCCAGAUCUGUAUGACUAUGUAUUUUGUAUGUUUUUUGAAUAUGUGUAUGUAAUAUACAUAUUUGUAUUUUCAAAAUAAAAGUUAGAGAUAGAAGAGUAAAAAAUGAAAAAAACAAAAAUAUAAAAAGAAAAAAAAAGUGAAAAAGAAAAAAAAAAGGGAAGAAAUAGAAAUAGAAGUGUAAAAAUAAAAGAAAAAAUAAACAAAAUAAAAUUGAAAAAGAAGAAGAAAACGAAAAUAGAAAAAGAAAAAAAAAAGAUAUGAGCAAGGAAGAAAAAAAUGAAAAAAAAAAAAAGAGAAGUAGAAGAGAGGAAAUAAAGUGGAAAGAAAAAAUGAAAAAGAAAAAGAAAUCAAAAUAAAAAAAUAAAAUGAUAAAAAAUAAGAUGAAAAAAAACGAACAAGAAAAAAAGGAAGAGAUAUAAGAGAGUGAAAGACAGUAAUGAUGUUUUAUUUUGAAAUCUUGAAGAUCAUGGAGAUAAUUAUCUUCCUAUAUGAAAAAGAAAAAAAAGAAAACAAAAAAUAAAAAAAAUGAAAAAGGUAAAAAAAGAAGAGAAAUAGAAGAGAGAAAAUAAAGUGAAAAUAAAAAAUGAAAUGACAAAAAAAUAAGAUGAAAUAAAGGGGUAUAAGAUAUGGUUAUAUUUGGGGGAGGUGAAAUAGUGGAAUGAAAAUAGGAAAAUAUAAAGUAGUGAGAGUAAAACAUGCGCUUGUCUAGUUAAUGAGUAAAAUAAUGUUACUCUAGCUAUAAACUGUAAUUUUACAAAAGUAUUGUUAUUUAUUAUUAUUAUUAUAGUCUUAAAUAUGCUACUUUCUGUAAUUUUUUCAUUUCCCUAUUAGUAAUGUUAUGUUUACUUAUAUUUUUUAUGAAAUUUUUAUUUUGUAGGAAUUUGUUAUUGAUUCUUGUGAAUUGAAAUUGGUAGAUAUUAUUCUCCUCAAUCAAGUUCUAAUUUUAAAGACAAUUCUCUCUGUCUUGUAAAGAAUUUGAUAUGAAUUCACUUAAAUUUGAUCCCAAAGAAAGAAAAUCAAUUCAUGAAUAUGACUCUGCGAUACGAGAUCAAGUGAGAAGACACUAUAUUCAACAAGGGCCUUGUCAACCGGAUCUAGGUUUUAAGUGAUUGCUUAGUUUGCUAUAUUGAGAAAGAAGCAUAUAUUUGUAGAUAUAAACAACGAUGCAAUCAUUGAUCGUUUUUAGAAUAUGAAAAUGUAUCGAUGUCUAAUAUGAAAGGAUGGUCUACUUUUGUUAUAUUAGCACUAAAUUAAUGAUAUUUGAUCAUUUUGAAAUUUAUACUUUGCUAAUAAUUUUUUAUAAAUUUUAAAUUUAAAAGAAUUGUAUGUCAAAUUAGGUAGUUGAUAAUUGACAUGACUUAAUUAAAGAUAAUGGUGCACUCGCUAUCUGCUUGAACACAAGAAUAUGAGAAAAUCAUUUGUGUGCGUGAGAGUAUAUAAAAUUAGCUGGCAUGUUAAAUAGGCCCUUUUUACACUUAUAUCUCAUUUGUAUCAUUGUUUUUGUUCUAUAUAUGAAAAAAGGUCCUAAAGAAUCGGUCUUCUAGAAAAAUGACCACUCCGGCUAAUGAUAGAAAUUUUUGCAGUUGCCGUUAAGCUGCUCUACAUGUGUCCUCCUUAUUCACUGGUCGUAAUGCUAUCACCAUUUUCGAUGGCUUCAUCUAUAUUCCUCCAUUUCUUCCCAGAAAAAGACUAAACACAACAAAAUAACAUUGAGUUUCAAGGUCAAAAUACUCAAAACAACACAAAAAGCUACUUCAGAUUCAGAGAGGCAUAUGAAGAGAAAUAAAAAGCAUCAACUAUCAAUCUGAAAAGAGAACAACCAGAUCAAAAACAAUUAUGAAAAACGAGUUGCACGCUGAUAUCUGGCUGAUUUUGUAAUUGAAUAGCAUAGGAAAGAUGCUCUGUCGGAGAUGUAGGUAUUUAAAGGUAGGUCUAAAUUCAUUGUUUAAUGCUUCUACAGUUUUCCUCGUUAUUUAGAUAAAGGAAAUAGAGAUAUGGCACCAAUCAGUGGAAUAGGUACAAUUAUAUGGAAAAGGAUAUUGAAGAAAAAGAGGAAAUAUAAUGAGCAAAUAGAUAGUAUUGAAAAAAGAAUUGCAGGUCGUCAUCAACGAAUAGGUUGGGAUUGAAGAAAAGUGGAAUUUGUUUAAGGAUCUAUCUAGGUAGUUAGACUUCCAAUUGUACUUCCAAUUGUUUUGGGGCAACAAUAUUCAUAUGAAGUUCGUACCUUUUGGCCUUUUUCGCUUCCUUCAGUCCAAGCAAACGCUAAACUUCUUAUUAAAGCAGAGGAACUUUAUUAAAUUAGGAGUGUCCAAGUCAACAGUAAUCAAUUUGUGAAAAUGAUAUAUGCUCAGUUGUUUGAGGCUGUCACUUGCAAUCUUCAUACUCUUCAAGGUCUUGCAACAAAUUAAAUCAAACUUCUCAAGAUUUUGUAGGCUGUAAAAUAGUUACUCUAACCAAUUGUUGUUGACAUCCACACCCCUGAUAAACAAAAUCUUGAGGGCUUUGCAAGCAGUUAUUCUAACAACAUUUAUAUUCCCAUAGCUGUUGUCGAUCUCAAGGUUGUCGAUCGUAAGCUCUUCGAGAUUAAUUGCUGCAAUAUCAACCAAUUGGAGUACUGAAAGGGGCAAGCUGACCAAGUAAAUCUAUUUUAGUUUAGGUAAAGUCUCACCAACUUGAAAGCUGGUGAGUUCGUUGAAAUAGCCUCAAUAAAUUCCUCAUCCAAAAACACAAAAGAGAGGGUGCAAUUCUCGCAAAGAUGAUAAAUUUAUCAUACCAUCAUCAGCGGGAGCACAUUUAGUGAUUUGGCAGCAAAGAUUGCCAGGGGCAAGCUGCCGUAUACGAAGCUGCCUUGAUAAUCAUGUGUUUCUACUCUUAGAUUCAACUCUUUGAUAUUACAAGCUAUGAGUAUCUUAAUCCAGUUUCUGACACAACAAAGACCACCAUAAUGGCCUAAGCACAAGCACAGAGAGAACUUUUGAAUGGAAAUCUUGUUCUUUUUCCUAUUUGCUAGAGCUUGAUCUAGAACAACAUUCAGAUCUUUUGACCAGUCUAAAAUAUCACCAAAAUUUAAGUAGGGGAGUGACUUCCAAGCACUAUCCCAAACCUUAGACAAUGUACUCAUUCGUGCCACAUCUUUAGCAUGUAAGAAAGACAGGAUGUGCUGCAAUAUUGGCUCUGGCAAUUUCGAAAUUCUAUCAUCAGAUGUUGCAUCACUAUUCCCUUCCAUCGCCCUCAAAUUUGUUCUCUGGCGUUUGAAAACCCUAACUCUAAGGGUGUAAAAGUAUUUAUAAGAGUUUCUAUCAAAAAUUAUUAUAUUAUUUCUUUUAUUUCAAUUUAUCAUUUUCACAAAUAAAGAAAGAAUUAAAAUUUAAAUUCAAAUAUUAGAAUCUUUAAAUAUAAAAUAAAAUAAAAUUUUAUUUAUAUUUAUAUUAUAAAAUAAAGGAAAGAGUUCAUAUGGGAUGAGGAGUUUGAGUUAAAUUCAGCUAUCAUCUAUCAAAGUUAUAUAAUGGGUCUAUAAUUAGAAAUAGGAUAAUUAUGCCUACUCUUCCAAGUUAUGCCUCCAGGAUUACUCUGUAUGUUUUGCAUAGUAUGAGGCACUUUUCAGUAUGCCAGGUGAAUUUGAUGCGCGAUUGCGUGCUUAAGUAUUUGUUAAACACUAAUUGAAGAAAUGAAGUUUGACAUUCAUUCAACGUUGAAAUGUGUGGUCAUCUUAUCUAAAAAAAGCUUAGACAGUUAAAGAGAGCGCAGUUUUAUUUACUUAAUUGUAUUCUCAAUAUGCAUGGCAGCAUGUCAAGAAUAAGCGUUUAGCCAUCCGACUUUCUUUCUGCAAGGUUAAAUUUUUAUUUUGAGGAGUGAUGUGCAGUUGCAUUUACUGCUAUAAUUAUCUAGAUCGUUGAAGCUCCAAAGCAAAAUACUUGUUUUCUCUUCAGACCAACUAUGCCUUAUGAGUUAUGUCUAACUUAAUGUUUAAGUCUACGGCUCACAAUAAUUUUCUAUUGUUCUAGUCCUUAAAACAACUGAAAAACGAAAUUGGCAUAAAGCUAUAAUCGUUAGGUUCUUCUGUAGAAAUUUGUUGUCUUGGUUUGAGUUAUGGAGAAAAGAGUCGGAAGAAAAAUAUCAAAAAGACUCGUUUACUUAGCAAGACCAGAUUAUCGUUAUCACCACAGAAUGAGUACAUUAGAUGCAUUGAGUCAAGCUGAGGAUAGAUUAGUGAUUGUUGAGUUCUAUGGCACAUCGUGUGCCUCAUAUCGAGCAUUGUUCCCUAAGGUGAGUAAUCUCAUUAUGUACGAUUUUCUGAGUAAUGGUCGAUUUCUAUUUUAACCGCACAAAUUGCUGUCGCAAACAUAGUUAGAAUAUACAAGAGUCGAUCCUCACUUUUGUGGCAAAUUUGCAAUUAGAAGUGGAUGUGUCCAAAAUAUCUCGAGACCUAUUGGUCUCAUGGGGACUAACUUUAUCUUGCUCUAAGACUCUCCUUCUGCCAAAAGCAUUAUAUUCCACUUAAAGCUUGUGUAAUUUAACAGAUAGCUCUUUCCAGUACAAGGCUAUUUAUUGCAAAAUUAUUCUACAUUUCCCAGGUAGAGAUGCACAACAAGGCUUUUCAACUUCACCUGAUGCAUCUGAAUAUAUAAACUGUCAAGCAGAGAAAAAUAAUUCAGUAUGGACUAUAUAAACAACAGGAACAACGGUAAAAUGUUAAACGUUAUAAAGAAUCAAUCAUGAAUGCAGUAUUAGAAAGGUUUAGAACUCUAUGGGUGUUAUCCUAUUGCCGCUCGGAAUCAAAACAUUAUCUGAAUGGAGGAAUCAUCUAAGUGAGUACAAUAAACGGGUGCUUUCUAAUGGUCAAAGAAUAAAAUGCACAACUAAAGGAAGCAGAAGCACCAGAUGAACCAAAGGCUCACAAUACACGGGAAUAGCCAGUGGAAGACAAUAGCUAGCAGUGUUAGUAGGAAAGUUCUUUUUACUCAAAACUAUAAGUCGCGCAGUCAAAUCGCAAAACACUCCGCAGACCUAGGCAGGAAAGGAGGAAACAGUCACGCUUCAUCCAAUCAGGUUAGAUCGACUCCAUGUAUCUUCUGGUUUAUUCAAUAGCAAUAAUUUGUCUAAUAAUCAACGAGUAGCAAAAAUCGUCAACCAGUCAAUAAACAACGUUUCCUAAUAUUUUGGGGCAACAACAUUUAUAUGAACAAGUUUUAAUGUGCUAAUACCAAUAAUAUUGAAUGGCAUGCAAGGAGCCUUUUUUUAAUUAACAUAAGUUUGUCCUUUUUCUCUUCUUCAACCCAAGCUUACUUUAAACUUCUCUUUAAAGCAGUGGAACUUUAUUAAAUUAGGAGUGUCCAAUUAAGCAGAAAUCAAAUUGUGACAAUCAACUACUCUCAGUUGUUUGAGCCUGUCACUUGCGAUCUUCAUAGUCUUCAGGUUCUUGCAACGAAUUAACUCGAACUUUACAAGAUUUUGUAGGCUGUAAAAUAGUUCCUCUAACCAAUUACUGGUGACAUCCACACCACGGAGGUACAAACUCUUGAGGGCUUUGCAAGCAGUUAUUCUAACAACAUUUGUACUCCCAUAAAGGUUGUUGAUCCAGAGGUCUUCGAGAUUAAUUGCAGCAAUAUCAACCAAUUGGAGUACCGAAUGGGGAGGUUCCAAGGUAACCAAGUCAAUCUUUUUCAGCUUAGGUAAAGUAUCACCAACUUGAAAGCUGGUGAGUCCGUUGAAAUACUGCAAAGACAGAUGCUCUAAAUUACAGCAGCUUGUGCACAUAGCCUUAAUAAAUUGCUCAUCCAAAAACACGAAAGAGAGGUGCAAUUCUUGCAAAGAUGAUAAAUUUAUCGUACCAUCGUAAGCGGGCAAUUCAAUAUUAAAUCCAAACAAAUUCAGCACAUUUAGUGAUUUGGCAGCAAGGAUUGCCUCUGGCAAGCUGCCGUAUACGAAGUUUCCUUGAUAAUCAUGUCUUUCUACUCUUAGAUUCAACUCUUUGAUAUUACAAGCUAUGCGUAUCUUAAUCCAGUUGCCGACAUUACAAAGACCAGCAUAAUGGCGUAAGCACAGAGAGAACUUUUGCAUGGAACUCUUGUGCUUUUUCCUAUUUGCUAGAGUUUGAUCUAUAACAACAUUCAGAUUUAUUGACCAGUCGAAAAUAUCACCAAAAUCUAAGUAGGGGAGUGAAUUCCAAGCACUAUCCCAAACCUUGGACAAUGUACUCAUUCGUGCCGCAUAUUUAGCAUGUAGGAAAGACAGUAUGUGAUGCAAAAUUGGCUCUGGCAAUUUCGAAAUUCGAUCAUCACAUACUGCAUCAUUAUUCCCAUCCAUUGGCCCCAAAUUUGUUCUCUGAAGUUUGAAAAUCCUAACUCUAAGGGUGUAAGAAUAUUUAUAAGAGUGUCUGUCAUUCUCUAAUCCUAAAGCUAACCAACUUAUGGAAGGAGUCUACACAAAAAUGGUUAUAUUAUUUCUUUUAUUUCGAUUUAUCAUUUAUACAAAUAAAAAAAGAACUAAAAUUUAAAUUCGACUAUUAGAAUCUCUAAAUAUAAAAUAAAAUAAAAUUUUAUUUAUAUUAUAUAUCGUAACAUAAAGUAAAGAAAAGAGUUCUUACGGGAUGAGGAGUUUGAGUUAUAAAUUCAGCUAUCAUCCAUCAAAGUUAUAUAAUUAGCACUAGGAUAAAUAGUGAUGACUUUGUUUCAAUAUUGAUGAUGGAGUGGAGAAGUAAUAGAUGAAAUUUCCGAAUCUAUAUCUAUCUAUAUCUAUUCUAUAUUUUAUAUUCUAUAUUCUAUAUUUUAUAUUUAUAUUUAUCUAUAUCUAAUAGCAGAGGUAAAAAGCUCCAAGUGUCACUACCACAUAAUUCUAAUUUUAAAAAAUAAAUUAUAAAUCCAAUUAAAUGCCUUACGGUAUAAACACAAAAGAGAUCUGUUUUUAAUUUUCUCCGGAAACUACCCACUUCCCCAAUUUUCAACUGCACUUCCACAUUCUCUAGGCAACAUAUAUCUGCGAAUUGAAAUUUCAAUCCCUUAUCCAUUAAUUUAUAUUAAAGGCAAUUAAGAAGGAAAAUCAGACAUCAACGUAUUGGUUUCUUUACAUCAAAUAUCUCAAUGUAAGUUUUUGUUUCAAUUUUGUCUCCCUUAUUCAAUUUUCUUAUCAUUCUCAUUGGUUGCUGAAAAAGUGUUGUUGAUAAAUUUAUAUGAUAAAAAGGAAAUAACUACCAGUACUAUGCAAGGAAGUAGAAACAAGGAAGUCCAUUUUAAUGGGUAACUUUUAUUUCGUCAUUUAUUAGUUUUUGGGUUCAAGAAUGUUUGUGAUUUUUAUUUUGUCAUUUAUUAGUUUUUGGGUUCAAGAAAGUUUGUGAUCUCAAUCAAAUUUGUGAUUAGAAACAAGGAAUUCCAUUUUAAUGGGUAAUUUUUAUUUCUUCAUUUAUUAGUUUUUGGGUUCGAGAAAGUUUAUGAUCUCAAUCAAAUUUGUGAUUAUUUUCAUAUAAAGGAUGAUAAACCUUUUAACUCAACAAAUUGUGGGAAUUUCAGUUAUCCUUCUUAGAUCCAUCAGUUUCUUCCCUGCAUAUUACAGAGAAGUUCAAAAUUAAAUCUAUAACUGCUUCACGUUCAUUUUGUUUUCUUCACCAAUAAUCUUCAGUUUCUUUUUUCAAUCACAGAACUAUCACUCGGUGAUCCAAUUCUAAUUCAGUGGAUGGGUUUUUGCAUACCAUUAGUAACUAUUAGGAUAAAUUAGUCCAAUGCAUAUCUGUAAGCAUGAUACUUUGAUGAGAAAGCACGAGGAUCUUCAAAAGUUUCAUCUUAUAUAUUGAUGAAUAACACACGCUACACACAGCUGCUAUAAAUAUAUUGUUCUACAUACUGCAUCUGUAAGUCUGAUAUACGUGAAAUGUCUAGAGCACACAAGUGUCAUGGUUAAAUGCUACAAAUAUAGAAGACAAUGAAAGGAUCUGAGAAGAGCACACAAGUCUCAUGGUUAAAUGCUACAAAUAUAGAAGACAAUGAAAAGAUCUGAGAACCACCAGAUCUCCAUUCAUAAGCCUCUCAAGCUUCGCCUAAUCAAAUUGGCAAAAAACCAUUUCAAAUUGCAUAAAUGAUUGACUAUUGGAAAUGUGUUUGAUUGUAGACUUAAGAUUUUGCUCAAGUUCUUUACUCUACUGUCCAGGUACCAGUCGAUGCAUUGAGUACCCCGUUCUUCAAGAGUUACAAAUUUUGAUCGGAAGGUUCAUUUCUUCCUCAUCAACUUUUAUCAUACUUGCUUUAAACAUUUCUCUGUAGUUCCUUUUGCGGUCUUAUAUAUAAAGCUGAAAAUCAUGCUAUAUAUAACACCAUAAUCCAUUAGAUAACAACAUCAAGCCUUUAUAUAAUCUUUUAUAAAGCAUGACGCAUUAUAAAUUUAGGUAUCUCAAUUUCAUAUUAAAUUUUUGCUUGAGAUAAUUCACUAACUUGGUUCCUUUUACAUGCCUGAAUAUCGGAUAAAAUAGUUGCAGGACAAACAUAGAGAAGAUGCUUUUCAUGAAUUUUGAAAUUGGUUGUUAUGUUGGGUUUCACUAUGAAUUUUCUUUAUAUGAUAAGAUCAAUUUUGAGUUUUGGUGAUAAAAGAGCCUAAAAGUCACCUAGGUUUAUCAUGUAACGUCACAAAUCUAUCAACUUGAAGAUGUCUUUCGUCUAUUUGGUAGAAGUAUUCAUUUUCAGGUUUGUACUUUUUCAUAGUCCAAUUUUCAUUGUAAUCUAUGCAAAAUGCUGGAAUUUUAAGUACCCAAUAUGUUUGUGUGUACAAUGUAUUAGAUGCAACCUUCAAACUUCUGUCUCUCUGUCUAUAUCAAUGUGAGUUACUUUUCUUUCACUUUCAUCUGGAUAAGGGAGAAUCAAACAAAAGAUUUAUCAAACACACCCCAAGACUGAGUAAUACAGAGCUAUGAAAGUUUUUAUUAUGUUUCAUUCUUGAAUUUCUGUUUCUUUCUCAUUCACGAAAAUGAGAGCUCACAUUCAUCUUCUGGUUUGUUUGAAUUGCUAUUGGUUUGAAAUUCGAUCAUAUAUUCCAUGAUUGUCGGCUUGAGGUGAACUUAUAGCUUGACUUUUUAACCGUAUAUAAUUUGACAGAAAAUAGUUAAAGCCUUCGAUGGCAUAGUAGACUGCAUAUUAAAGUCAAAAUAUGGGGAAACUACAAUUAGGAAAGGUCACUACACUAGGUACAUGCGAAAGCAAUACUAUUGUAAACCCUGUUUGAGAGAUGAAAUACAUGUGUUUUCUAACAAAAGACAAAAUCUGAGGAAAGAUGCCAAUUUAUGAAAAAUUUUAUUGCAUAUGAAUCAGGUAUUGGAAAAUAGCAGGAAGUUCAAAGGCUGUAAACAAGGUGUGAUGGUUAUGGUGCUCUAUGCCCCGAUCCCAAAUUUGUCGGUGGUGAAGAUGUGAUGUUCUACUUCCAUGGAGCAAAGAAAACUGAAUUUCCUAUUAUCUCAGCUGACAACCUCCAUAUUAGUGCAAAAUUAACUGGUACACAACCACAAGAAAGGAAGUUUGACUUUACAUGGGUUCAAACAUUGUCAGAUAUGUUUGACACCCAUACGUUAAUAGUAGGACCAAAGGAAGUGUCAAAAUGGGAUUAAAAUGUUGAUGCUCUUACUGUACAGUCACAGUGGAAUGGUGAGACACUUGAUGUCCCGAUAGAUGGAGAUACAAAAUAGAGCGUUAAUACUACUGAGAGAUCAAUGGUGGUCGAGGGAAUUGAUGAUCUUAAUAGCAUGAGGUUCAUAGUUUCUAGACUAAUGUAAUUGGAUGUAAAAGUAGUCCCCAUUGGAGAGAAGGAAAGCAAAGAUUCACAGCUAUCAGUUACCAAGAGAUGUUGUUUUUGCUCAUCUGGAGACACAAUUGAAGUUUUCGAAUAUAUAUAAAGAUGAUGUCGAAGGAAUUUUUGGCUAGACUUACCAGUUGAGCUAUGUUAGUCCAGUCAAGAGAGGGGUGGUAAUGCCAAUCAUGGGCGGGGAAGACAAAUAUCAAACACCAUCACUUCAUUCAUAACCCUACAAAAUGCAGGUUGCUUCAUCUUGAUGAUACAAAGAUAUUAACCAAUAAGGGCACGUUUAGUAGUGUAUAAGAAUACUAGUGAAUUUUUUUAUUGGUCGUUUAGUAGAGUGUAUAGGAAUAAUAGUGAAUUUUUUAUUAACAACCCCUUUGUUGUUUGUUAAAUAAAAUAUUGCUAUAAAUCUAAUUGUAUUUUGAUAUGUGAAUAAAGGAUGCAAAAAACACGCAUAAGUUUCUGGUGAGCAAAGACAAAAGUGAUGAAACUAUUUUUAUUAUAAUCUCAUUAAAUUGUUGAGGGAAGCCAAAGUGUUCUUCCUCUGGGAGAUGUAUAAGUAGAUAAGCACUAUCUUUCUGAAGUUGUAACUUAGUAAUAGUUUAUCUGACCUUGUACUACUUCUACACUUAGGAAUAUGCCUUCUCGGUCCAAUAGUUCCACAGGGCAUCAUGUACAGGAAGCUUUUACAGCUUAAACUUAUUGUGACUCCUAUACGCGGGUCACCAAAUAUAUUUAUUGGAACACCUAAGCUGCAUCUUUUUGAUCCAACGCAAUCUUACAAAGAUGGUUGAAUUGAAAUUUGGUAUGGGAAUUCUAACUGGAUCUAUCAGUUUCAUGUUUUGUAAAGCAAACUGGAUCUAGCUUUCUUUACAACUGAAAGAGCAUUGUUGCUACUACAUCAACAAUGGCUAAAGCUUUCACAUGUUCCAUGAGGAGUGCCAAAGCUUCAAAAUUUGAUUGAAGAGAUGACUUGAUUUGGAUGAGGACACUCAAGAGAAUAGAAAGAUUUGGUCCUGCUUCCUUCUCAUGCAUCCUUUUCUGAAGCCCACAUGUUAAUGGAAGUGGAUGAGCCUCUGAAACUCGUGAGCAUACACUUUGUACCUUUGCUUGUUUUCUCAAAUUUUUCUGUGCAAAGUAGCGUUUGAGGUUAGUACAAUAUAUAUUAAUGAAUCUUCACAAUCCUACUUUCGUUUGUCUUUUUUAUACAAUGCUUUGAACUGAGACUAUUAAGAGCAUAUUUUUUCUAAUCCAAAUUAUAAUUACUAUCCAUUUUUUCGUGUUGUUUUCAGAUUAUUGACUACGUGCUACUUUUUACCGUCAAACUAUUAACAUACAAAACAUUCGAAAUUAUCCAAUUAAAAGUAACUACAUAUAGUAAAAUAAAUAGAAAAUCAUCAAAAAGAAGACCUCAAAUAAUGUUGAAUUUGAUUGCAAAGGUUAUAUAGAUAUAUUAAAGAUAAGUUGUCACCUCUGAAGUAAUAAUAAUAACAAUUCAAUUUGACCAAAUCAAUCAGAUUAUAAUUUUUUAAUAUUAUUCGCGAUUGCGCGGAUAUGUAGUACUAGUAAUAAUUAAUGACACAUGGACAAUAAAUUAUGAAGCAUCUUAUGCUCUUGAUUUUGACGCCAUCAAAGUCAAAUUCACAUUUUCUUCUAAAAGUAAGCUAAGGUUAGGAGGCUUUUUCUUGUUUUUCCUUAAUGUGAUAUAUAGCAAUAUCGUGUAAAAUAUUUUGUACGCUAUAUAUAUCAAUGUAGUUCAUAAAUCGGUUAGGUAUUGUCACACUCUUUNNNNNNNNNNACAUAUAUUCAAUAUAAAUAAUUAUAAGUAAGUGUAGGCAGACCAUCAUGAAUUUAAGUAAUAUAUGAAUUUAAGUUGAAACGACUAUUCAAAAUUAAAGUUGUGUUUUUAUAUGAAAAUACAAUUAAGUUAAACUUUUGUGGGUGAAAAUUGGAAAAAAAACUAUUAAAACCUAUUUUUAAGCUUCAAUUUUCAUAAUACUUUUUAUAUUCUACCAUCACUUGACAUUACAAAUCGACACUUAUAGCGAAAUGAAUAAAAUUUCUCUAUCUUUAGUUUGGAGUUUUCGGAUUCAAGUUUUACAAAUAGAAAAAAACCAUUAGAGAGCAAUUACCUUUAAUUGGCCAUACACGACGAAUAAAGAUGAAUCAGACCAGUAAAUUCCGAACAUAAAAUAAUUAUACCCGAAAAAAAUUCUUGAAAAGAGAAAAUUUUGAAAUUAUAAAUUACUACUAUUAUGAAACGGACAACAAUAAGCAAUACCACAAAAUGAAAGAAAAUAGGAACACACAGAUUUAUGUGGAAACUCUUGACGGGAAAAACCACAGGCAGAGGAGGAGUAAUUUCACUAUAAUGGAGAGGAAUACAGCCGGAGACAAAAGUCUCAAUAACGUAUUUUUAAACUGUCCAAAAACUACCAACUAAAUCGCACUUAGCGGUCCGAUCCCUCCGCUACCACCACAGACCCCACAAAAAAUUACAAACAUGGGUUGCAUCGCGCACUUUUCAGGGCUGGAUCAACAAAAUUCGGAUCACAAACUCUAACAACUACAAUUUGAGAUUUUGCUAUUUCAAUAUGAACAAUUAACCAGUCUUACAUGGAAGGACAAGUGAUAUUGGUAGGACUAACCAGUUUACCAUAUCUAACAAAUUGAAAAAAAGCAUUGUAUUCAGUACAUAAUUCAACAUCUAGUUUCUGUUAAAAAGUUCUGGAUACUGUUGCCAUUUAGGCCAAAGCGUGAGAUCCCUUUGUGGACAAUUGGAUUUUAACACUUGUAGCUUUUAAUAUCAAAGAGUUAAAUCCAAGAGUAAACAGACCUAUUAAUGAAGGAGAAGGUGAUUAAAACAGGCUGACUGAGACAGUUUUCAAUGCCAAAGCACUAGACAUGCUGAAUUUGAAUGGAUUUAAUGUUAACUUGCCUCUAACGGUGUAAUAAUGUUUUCAUCUUUGCGAGAGUUUCAAACUUAGUGAUGUGUUUUUGGAUGAGGAAUUUAUAUUUUAUAUUUGAUCCUGUACUUCAGGAACAAGGUGUUCACGCUUUGGAAAGUAAUAAGACAAUCUCUAAGAAAUGAUGCAUAAAUUUACCUUUUCCAAUUUUCGAUUGCCUUUUAUCAAAUGUAUUUUGACAAAUUGCUGAAAAAAUAUGACUUCCAAGUUUCAACAUCUCACUCAUCUUGUCUAAUUAUGCAGUAUUUUUAUAAUCACGUUAAACACAAUGAUCUAUGUCUGUUCACUAAGAGACAGACAAUGGCGAGCUUAAUUACAAUGCUCCCGUUUGAAUCAAGUGGCUGGAAUUAUAUCUUCCGCACUUUGAUAUAUGUAUGAAUUAUGCUUAUGAUAGUCUGCUGAGGGGUCUCUCGGGCCUUCGUGGUUUGGGAUGCCCGUCGCGGCCAGGACCUCGGCUCGGCCUGUGAUAUUAAUGGAGUAAAAACCACGACCUAACCCAGUAGGAUUUCUCAACCACUUCACUUAACAAAAAACAAAUUUUAGAUUACAACCUUGUGCAACCUAGGAAUUAAACUCUUAAUUCCUCACUCUGACAAUAACUCUAUUAAAAGCCCUCUCUACAAUAGCUCUAUUGUAAAGAUAACCAACGCUAACUCUAGCCCACAAAGGUACUACCGCGGCUAACUGUAGUCCCCAACACUACAAUGGCUAACUCUAGCCCACAACAUCUACAAGAUAUGAGAGGAAAUUGUUGGGUUCAAUGGUGUGAAUGGAAAAUGGAGGCAAAUUCUUGGAGAGAAAGUGUACUCACUAAAGGAAAGUCUACUUCUCCCACAUUGGUGGGAGAAAGCAACUUUAUAUUGUUUUUAUUAAGAGAUACUCCUUCAAGUGGAUAGUGAGGCAAGAACCAAGAGGUGCCUCGCGCCGCCAUUGUUGCUCGCUCGACUUCGAAUUUGAGUUUAAUUGAAACUUGGAAAAAAAUAGAUCGGUAAAUCCAAUAGAAAAUUGUAUUUGGGAAAGUGGAUGACUGUUCGAAAAAGACAUACCAUUUUAAAUGGACAAACAUGAUCAUUCCGAGAUGAUACACCUUUCUAAUGAACCAUUGCCCCUUUCUGAAGGGGCACUUCAUUGAGCGAGUUCGAAGAAUCCAAUAGUUUGAGGUACUGCUACAGUAGGAUUGUAAGUCAUUUUAUCCGUCCGCGACCUCGGGUACUUGAGCGGAAUUAAUUCAUUAAGGACACUCCGUGAAUUUGGUGGACAAACAUGAUCAUUCCGAGAUGAUACACCUUUCUAAUGAACCAUUGUUGCUUUCUGAAGGGGCACUUCAUUGAGCGAGUUCGAAGAAUCCAAUAGUUUGAGGUACUGCUACAGUCGGAUUGUAAGUCAUUUUAUCCGUCCGCGACCUCGGGUACUUGAGCGGAAUUAAUUCAUUAAGGACACUCCGUGAAUUUGGAGGACUUGACUUUAUUUUUUCUUUAUCUUGUUUCUUUAAAUAUAACACACUUCUUUGAUAGUUCGUAUUGAACUUGUAUUGAAGGUGUUGAAAAAGUUCUUGAAAAAGUCUCGAACGCGUGUUGAAGUUUACUGAAUAAACAUACAGAUUGUGAUCCAAAAUAACAGAAAUAAAAUACCUAUGAAAGCUUCUCAAAAGAGGAGUAGGUUUACAUGUUAGAGCAAAAUAUAAAGACUCAAAAACCUAAAGCUAAAGACAUAUUCAGUUGUAGCAAACUGGUCCCUUGGUUCACUUUGAUGGAAAAUUGUGGUGGCUUUGCAAGAUGAAUGAGAAUUUUGAUUGUGCAAAUGCUAAGUUUUCCUCCCACAUAAUGAUAUAUAUAUAUAUAUAUAUAUAUAUAUGAAGCAAAUGAGAGGGGAAAACCUAGAAUAUUUCUCAUUGGUUGAGAUUAAAAAAUGUUGCUCCUCUGCUGUUGUGCCACCAACUUUUCUCAUUGGUCAACAACUUUACUGUUGACUACUAGAAGUUCAAUGACUGAUGAACCUGGUCCCUUGACAGGUUCGUCAAUCAUUAGGAACGGAUUUCCAUGUGUCAUUCCAUGUCGUAUAUCACUACAUAUAUUAGAACUAGGAAAUAUCUCCUUGAGAAGUUAUCAAUUAACAAGGUUAGGAAAUGGACGAAGUUCUAUAGGUAGUAUAUUUGGUAAGGACCAGGUUCUCACACAACUGACUUAGAAAAAUGAAUCAAGUUCUAUAGACAAAAUAUCUAAUACCAGGUUCCUCAUUAGUUUUAUUAAUCAUCAAAACCACAAGUACAUCACCAUUUUAUCUAAAAAAGCUUGGACAGUUAAGAGAGAGUUCAGUUUUAUUUACUUAAUUGUAUUCUCAAUAUGCAUGACAACAUGUCAAGAAUAAGCAUAUAGUCAUCAGAUUUUCUUUCUACAAGGUUAAAUUUUUAUUUUGAGGAGUGACGUGAAGUUGCAUUUACUGUUAUAAUUAUCUAAAUCGUUGAAGCUCCAACACAAAAUACUUGUUUCUCUUCAGAAGAAGUAUGCCUUACGUCUAAUGUAUUGAAGAUUAAUUAUACCUGUACUUUGCGUUAAUCAGGAUUUGUAAUUAGUUAGUUAAUUGUGGGUUAGGAGUUAGUUUGUUAGUUAAUUGGUUAGUGGUGUCCAGUUGUCAAGCAAGUUGGUGGUUGUAUAUAUAAUGUAUAGUGGACAAAUGAGAGUUAGUUUUCACUUUCACUUAGCUACUGGUUGCUUCUCUCCAAUGGAGAUUACUCUUUCCUCUUCCAAAUUCUUAUUGAUGGAACACAUUUCUCAACGUGUUUCUUAACAUGGUAUUAGAGACAUCUAGAUUGGUUAAUACCUUGAUAACUGUAGGUUUUUUUUAUUGUUGUUGCAGAGAGCUUUUCAUCUUUCCUGCGUUCGUAGUUUUGAAGCUUUCGAAUUUUAAUUCGUAUAUGCAAAAGUUUGUUGUUUGUUGAUGGAACUUCGAUUUCACAUUUUCGUUGAUUAAACUCACUGAGAUUAGCCUGAAAUGAGCUUAGUUUUAGUUAAUUGAAUCUGCAUAUCAAAUAUCAAUGGCAAUCACUGAGAAUGUCGUUAAUGGCGGAGAAGCUUCCACAUAUGCUUCAUCUACUCUAAAUCUGGAGGCGAGUGAUGCUUUGUACAUACAUUCUUCAGAUAGCCCAGGGAUGAUGCUGGUUCCAACACAAUCUGAUGGACUGGAUAUAUAUCCUGGAGGAGAGGAGUUCGACGUGCACUUUUUGUGAAGAACAAAUUAGGGUUCAUACAUGGUAGUUGUAAGAAACCAGAUACAAAUUCAUCUCAAUUUUGUCAAUGGCAAAGAUGCGAUGAUAUGGUAACAUCGUGGAUUCUCAAUUCGCUGUCAAAGGAAAUAUCUGAUAGUGUGGAAUAUUUAUGUGAUUCAGUGGAGCUUUGGAGAGAACUGGAAGAUGGAUAUGAUCAAACUAAUGAAGCCAAAUUGUAUCAAAUCCAAAAGGAGAUUAAUGAUCUCACACAAGGAGCAUCUACACAAAGAUGAUGAAGUUAUGGGAAGAGUUAAAUACUCUCAGUAUCAAAGAUCAAUGUAGUUAUGUGUGCAUGUGUGGAGCAAAGGAAAACUUGCAUAAGGCAGAGCAAGACAGGAGACUGGUUCAAUUUCUCAUGGGAUUGGAUAGGAUAUAUACUAUGGUCAGAGGCAAUAUCCUUAUGAUGAACCCUUUACCAUCCAUAGCACAGGCUUUCUCUUUGCUGAUACAGGAGGAAAAACAAAAGGAAUUUCAACCUACUAGUCAGUUGAUGGUCGAAUUAACCUCUCUCAAUGCCAACAACUAUAACAAUAGGAACAUUGUGGCCAGACCUCUCAAAAUGAAUUUUCCAACUAAUAACUUCAGAGGAACCAAUUAUACAGGAGGGAAUAGUAAUGCAGGAAGUGGUAGAAAUACUGUCAUGUGUGACUUUUGCAAAAAGCCAGGUCAUACAAGGGAUAGAUGUUAUAAGUUGCAUGGAUAUCCAUCCCCACAGAAAGUUCAAGGGAAUGGUCAAACUUUCAGACAUGAUGUGCCCACUGGCAACCAAUAUAACACUGGAACUCAGAAUUACAGACAGAAUAAUAACUACAAAGGCAAAGGAGUUGUUGCCAAUGUACAUGGAAUGCUAGGAGAUACAAGAGGGGACCACUUGUCAAGAGAAAAUUAGAAUAAUAACAGUCUCACAAAGGAGCAAUUUGGACAGUUAAUGACUCUAAUGCAGCAUUUUCAGAAUGAGUACAUGGGAGAGAAUCCCAACACUACUGAAAACUUGACUUCAGAUGUUGGUAACCUGGUAUUGUUGUUUGCAAAUCUUCUAUAGAUUUUGAUCACCUUUUAUGCAAAUGCUUUAAAUCAAAUGCUGACUUAUGGAUUAUAGACUCAGGGGCUUCCAAUAAUAUGACCUUCAGUAAAGAUCUCCUACAAAACAUCACACCCCUGCCAUAUCUCAUAUUAGUAUCUCUCCCUAAUGGUUAUAGAGUUAAGGUGUCAGAGUUUGGUGAUGUAAAAAUUUCACCCUUGAUCAUAUUACAUAAGGUGUUAUAUUCCUUCAUUCAAGUACAACUUUAUCUCUGUCCACUCCUUUUCUUCUUCCCUAAAAUAUAUUUUCUUGUUUACAAAUACAUUGUGUAUGCUGCAGGCCCUUUCAAUGAAGAGGCCUCAGGUGAUUGGUAAUUGCAGGGAUGGCCUUUACUACCUGUGUUCAAGAUCCUUGAGCAUCACUGGUUCAUCACUACCAUAUCUUCUACUUGUUGCAAUGCUCUUAAUAGCAAUUCCAUAGCUACUUUGCCUAAAUCUUGUGUUGUAUCUAAGAAAACUGCACUCACUGGGAGUGCAGAUGAUCUGCUUUGCCACCCUACUGCAAUUCCUUCUGUACAUAACUCCAUUUUACUAAUAAAGAAGAUAUGUUUAUUUCUAAUUCUUGUUUGUCUGUUAAACAUAACAUGGACUUAUUGUGGCAUUAUAGACUUGGCCAUGUUCCCUUUGUGAAAAUGAGAGGUAUUCAAUCCCUACUAGCUACUCUUCCAAACAACCUUUCUUGAGUUCCAUCUGCCCCAUGGCUAGACAAACACGACUACAUUUUAGCAGUAUCACCAAUCACACCAAGCAUAUUUUUGAAUUUGUCCAUGUAGAUCUAUGGGGACCCUAUCAUAAUUCUACACAUGACAAUUACAAAUAUUUCCUCACCAUGGUGGAUGAUUAUAGUAGAUCUACCUGGACACAUCUAUUGAGCACCAAAAACAAUGCCUUAUCUAUCCUAAAGACUUUCAUCACAAUGAUACAAAACCAAUUCAACACCACAGUUAAACCAUCAGAUCAGACAAUGGUCUUGAGUUUACAAGCAAUGAAGCUUUAGUUUUCUUUCAAUCUAAUGGGAUAAACCAUCAGAAAACUUGCCCCUACACACCAUAACAAAAUAAUAUGGUCAAGAGAAAACACAAAUACUUGCUUGAAAUAGCUAGAGCUCUCUUGUUUCAAUCAAAAUUACCUUUGAAAUAUUGGGGUGAUUGCCUCCUAACAACAACAUACAUCAUUAAUAGACUUCCCUCUAGUUACCUAAAAAACAAAUGCCCUUUUGAGUUAUUGUACAACCAAAAACCUGAUUAUUCUUACUUAAACUUCUUUGGAUAUUUGUGCUAUCCAACAGUGCCCAAAGUCCACAGAGAUAAACUUGAACCAAGAACUACACCACAUGUUUUCAUUCGAUACCCAUUUGGAACAAAAUUCUACAAGGUAAUGAGUUUUGCUACAAAAAAAAUACAAGUCUCUAGGGAUGUUAUAUUUCACGAGCAUAUCUUCCCUUUCAAUUUGAUAUCUACAAAACACACUUUCCCUCCUGCACUAAAGACAAUGUACCAUGAUGAUCCUGUGUACUCUGAUUGUGGAACACCUGAUAUCUUAGUAAGUGAUCAUGUGAAUGAUUUUGUUACAUACACUGCAUCACCACUGAACUCAGUUCCCACACAUCCACCUUCUUUACCUCCUACACUAUAUAUAUCAUCACAUGAUUUCCAUUCCCAUGAAUAAACUAAUAAUCAUACAAAUAUAUAUAUUAGAAGAUAUACCAGGGAAUAUAAAACUCCCCUUUACUUCAAAGACUACAUAUGUUCAACUCCUACUUUGAAAGCCAUUCUUCCACCCAAAUAUGCACCACCUGCAAACAUGCACACUGAUUCACACACCAAUUCCUCUAAUGCUAAUUUCUCUUUGAAAGCAAUGUUUACCAAUCAUCACCAUGUGUCCCCUGACGCUACUACACACCACAUUCAAGCACUUGUUGAAAGUAUUUGUCAUGAUAGUGAACCAUUAUCUUAUGAAAAAGCAGCCACAAGCCUUGCUUGAAAAAAUGCUAUGAUUCAAGAAUUUGAAGCAUUACAUGCUAAAAACACUUGGGACCUUGUUGAGAUGCCACCAGAAAAAUAAGUGAUUAGUUGUAGAUGGGUAUAUAAGAUCAAACAUAAGGCAGAUGAAAGUGUGGAAAGAUUCAAGGCUAGACUUGUGGUUAAGGGAUAUACACAGCUAGCUGGAAUAGAUUAUACUGAGAGAUACUCACUAGUAGUCAAGAUGACUAUAGUCAGAACUUUGGUAGAAUGUGUUAUUAAAAAAGGUGAGUAGUCAAGAUGACUAUAGUCAGAACUUUGGUAGAAUGUGUUAUUAAAGAAGGUUGGAACAUGUUUCAAUUAUAUAUAAACAAUGCCUUCUUGCACGGAGAUCUUCAUGAAGAAGAGUAUAUGUAAUUACCUCAAGGUUUGGAUGUAGAUAACCCUAAAUUAGUGUGCAAAUUGAAUAAGUCUCUUUAUGGGCAAAAACAAGCAAGCAGACAGUGGUAUGAAAAGUUAACUGAAGCCUUAUCUACUAGAGGAUACAUCUACUCUCAUCAUGAUUACUCUCUAUUCUUCAAGAGAUAUGGAUCACUAAUGGUAUUUAUAGUUGUGUAUGUUGAUGAUGUUAUCCUAACAGGAACAAAUUUAGAAAAAAUAGUAUUGCUUAAGAGUUAUCUCCAUGAGACAUUCAAGAUUAAAGAUAUUGGACACUUAUACUAUUUCCUAGCAUGGAGGUACUUGACAUAGCAAGAGGGGUCAUUAUCUCUUAGAGGAAAUUUACUAUGGACCUGCUCAAAGAAUACAACUGUUUUAACUAUAGUUUUGUGUGUUCACUACUUGAUCCUACUGUCAAACUAAGAGCUAAGGAGGGGGAUCCACUGCCAGAUCCUAUAUACUACAGGAAACUUAUAGGCAAGCUAAAUUUUCUCACCAAUACAAAGCUGGAUAUUGCAUUUAGUAUGCAGCAGUUAUGUCAAUACAUGCAAUAUCCAAUAAUACCUCACUUACAAGCAGCCUUCCAUUUGCUAAGGUACCUGAAAAAGAUCAAACACUAGAAAUCUACAUGUCCAAUGAUCAUUAUGGUAUAGUGAUGUCAUUUUAGUGAUUCUGACUAGGCUUCUUGUCCAGACUCGAUGAGGUGAGUUAGUAGGCGUAAUACCCCAAAAAUCCAAACCAAUAUUAGAACCAUGCUUCACGUUAAUGCAAAAUAAAUUAUAGUGAUUUGGUAGUUUUACGAGUGUGUUUUAUGUAUAUUAAGGCCUCAAAUAACUCCUAGCUAUUAGACGAAUCAAAAUAUCCCUUACCGAUUGAGUUUUUAGAGAAGAAUGUUGCUAUAGUCAACUUCAAACAAGCAUAUCCUUAGUUUUACUAAGAUUUUUUGAGCUCAUGACCAGCCAACAGAUAAAUAACUAAAUUAUCUUUCCAACGAUAUCAAUUUUUUCUAAAUUGAUACCCGGGUGAGAAGUUAUGGAAAUUUUAGUGAGAGGUAGUAGCUCACCGCGAUAAUGCCAUGUCGCGGUGAUCCCCAAAAUUACACUCGUCCCUUUCUAGUAUCUCACCAAAAUUAGCCAGUGUCGUGCCAAGUAUCAUGGUGGAACAGGUGCCGCAUCAUGGAGGAGUGCAAAUUCGCACCCGCCCGUUUCCAGUGAUGCAACGCGAUAUCAUUGCGUCGCACAAAGGUGUAAAAUUGGCAUCUUCCUUUUUAUAGUGACAAAACACGAUAUCACUGUGUCGCGCUAGAGGUCAAAUUCACACUUGUCCUUUUUCAAGUGGAACAACACGAUAGCACCGCGUCACGCUGGAGUGUAAAAUCGGGAUUUCCAGUUCCGAGUUUUAAAUUUCCAAGGGUGGUUUAGUCUUUUCCCAAGCCCCCAAUUUGUGAAAACAAGAGAUUAAACCUAUUCUAAGUCUAGUACGCUGAUUAUUCACAAAAAAUUUUCUCCAAGAAAAUCCUAAAGCUUCACCUUUCAAGUUCAAUUCUCACAAAAAUCCACCAAGGACUUUCAAGGAUUCUUCAAUUGAGGUAUGUUAAAUGUUCAUCCAUGGGUCCUUUCCACCCAUGGAGUCCAAGAACCCAAUUUCAAAUUCAAAGUGGUGAUUUUUACAAGUUAUUAUGAUUUUAACCAUGAAUCCCCAUGAUUUUUUUAUACCAUGUUACAUGUAAUUGAUGUUGUUAUAAAUCCCCACACAUUUGAAUGAUGUUUUUCAUUGAAUUAAAUCUUAAUUGGUGAUUUAGUAGUGAAAUCAUGCUAUUACUAUACAUUUAAAACUAUUCUCAUGCUUAGCUUAAACCAUAAAUUACAAGUGUUUGAUGAAAUGCCUACAAGACUGAGUUUUGAAUAAAUGCUUACAUAUCAUGUCCUCAAAGUUUUAGUACGGCCUUGCUAUCAUUGUUAUCCAGUUUUGAGGGUUUGAAAACCCAAAAUUUAGCUGCUUACCUAGUUUUCAGUAGUUAUAGAAUGGUUACAAAAUAGUUACGAGCCCUAUCUUUUCAGUUAGUAUUUUUAAAUAGUUAAGCAUAGUCAGUCCAAUAUUUCAGGUCUUUCAGUUAGGAGUAGAAUUUAGCACCGAGCGAAUGAAGGGAUAAUGGUUUCCCCGUCAGUUAGGCAGAGUUGUUAGUAGCAUUCCUUGUAUUUCAGAACUACAUAGCGAGCAUAUGAUAUGAGGAGUCACCCAUCAUUUUAGUCUUGACUCUGCAAAGGUGUCACCCAUCAGUUUAGGCUUGACAUCUUGGUUGUUCAGUAGUUUAGUGGAUCCACGUAGCCAUGUGUUAGUACCCAUGGCAUGGUACUGGCACCGUUCCAACUGGGGUUAUAGGUUGGACCCUAAUUUACUCAUUGGGGCAUGUCAGUUAGAUGAUAGCUCCCAUAGUCUCAGUUUAGUGUUUAGUAUACUUUAGUUCAUGUUUGCAUUGGCCAUAGCAUACAUAUAUUAGUUAUUCAAUUAUCAAAUUUCAGUAUUUUAGUUUACAGACUAUUUUCAGAAUUAUAUUAUAUGCUUGGUCAUGCAUUCUCAGAUUUUACAGUUUUCAUGCAUUCUCAGAUCUUACAGCUUUCACGCAUUUAUAUUCAGUAAUCUCAUGCUAACCAGUUAGUCUUUACUUCAUGCAUAUUCACUCAGUUAUCUCCUAUUAUUCAUCCAUUUAUUACUUCAUAUUCAGUUAUCCCAUGCUAAUCAUUCAGUCAGUUAUUACUCAUGCACAUGAAAUAAUGCAUAUUAGCCUAACCUUAUUUAGUAUACCAGUAUAUUCAAAGUACUGAUUGCAUACUCGUUUUUUGCGCUAUGAUGUUUAAUAUCAUAGGUUCGGACGCUCAGUUCCCUAAUCAUGCAUAGGCAUACCAGAUUAUCUGUUGUAGCAGUGGUGAGUCCUUAUACUUUUAGGAGAGGGGUUAUUUACCUCAGUUUAUCUUAUUAGUUCAGUAUUUUCUAUUCAAAGUUAGUUGGGGAUUUGUCCCAUCAACUCUAUAGUCAGUCAGUUAGAGGCUUUCAACACUUUUAGUCAGUUAUUCAGUUGUUAGAUACUAUUGACAGUCUUAUAGUAUUAUUUUUAGACAGAUGGUUUUAGUAUUUUGAUUCAAUAUCAUUUUUUGUAUUUAAAACUUAUGGUAUUUUGAGUUAAGUUUUGUACAUGUUUCCUGUCAUUCUAUUCUAUGCUCAUAACAGGUACCAUCAGGGGUUAGCUUGUAGUCACUUGUGACUGUAAGCACCAUAUAGCGCCCAGGUGGUAAUCUUGGGGCGUUAUAUACUUGGUAUCAAAGCCAGGUCUUAAAGUGUCCUAAGGACUCUAAAAUUCGUGUUGAGUAGAGUCUUGUGCAUAUGUGUGAAGUGCGCCACACUUAUUGUUAAGUGGCUACAAGUCAUUUUAGGAAAAGUUUCCCUUCCUUCAGUAUUCAUGUCAUGCGAAAGAGCAUGAACUCUAUUUAAACUCUCUGCCUAACCUAUCCAUACUUCUGUUUAUAGAAAAUUCCACCCAAAGGGAACAAUAGAAGAAGAAAUAGGAAUCAAUCCGCACCUCCGCCUAUUCAGGAAGAUCCCCUGAAUGAGCAUGUCUCUCAUACCGAAUUCGGAGCAGCUUUUACUAUCUUACCUUAUUCAGUAGUUGCUUAGAACAAUCUAAAGGUUGUUGUACUAUCUAGGAUUUUGAUCCAUGCUCAGCUGAGUGACAGAAGGGAGCAUAGGAAUAAAAAAAAAGAAUAAGAGGGCCAGAACAAGUAGUUUUAAGCUAAGGUCAAGGGGUAGUAACCAGUCCUAAUUUUGUUAGAAAUUCUCAGCCCCAGAUCUGCCUUCAGCCAGUGUUCAAAUGCCUAAGUUUAAGAAUGAUAGUCGAGAUAGAUCACUAGGCUUUAAGUCAUGGAGUAGUGGGAAGGGUGUUCGUACAAAUUCGCUUUAUGAAGAAUGUAGAAAGAAUAAUAAGGGUUUGUGUAGAGCCGGCAGUGAUAUGUGUUUUGGGUGUGGAAAGCUAGGCCACAAAGUCAGAGAUUUCCCAAAGAGUGGUCAGCAAGGUCAGUCCAACAGUCCCCCAGUUUCAUUCGGUCACUUAACUCAGUAGGGUGCCGCUUCUAGCGUAACUAGUGGCAAGCGUCAGAAUAGGCUUUAUGCACUUCAGUCCCAAUAUGAUCAGGAAAGUUCUCCUAACAUGAUUACUGGUACUUUUCAAGUCUUUCAUUUACAUGUUAUGCUUUUUUAGACCCUGGAGAUUCUCUUUGUUUUGUAACCCCCUGUAUAGUUGUCGAGUUCAAUGUCAGUCCUGAUAGAGCCCCUCUCAGUGUCUACCUCAGUAGGUAAAUCUAUCCUAGCCAGACGAGUAUACAAAAACUACCCAAUUUCAGUAUCCCAGAAAAUCACUUUAGUUGAUUUCAGAAAUAGAGCCAUUCAAUUUUAGUUAUUGAAUGAAACGGUCAUUGAAUGAAAGGGUAGUACCUCAAUGCUUAGGGGUCAGAUGUGUUUUUAGAUCCCUUCUCAAAACCCUAUGACAGUAGAUGACAUAGAAUUAGAAGCAUAAACCUAGAAGUUUAGUAGCAAUAAAGUAGGGCUAGUAGUGUUUGAAUUUGAUGGAUUACGUAUCCAUGGGGAUAGUUGUAUGAAAGGUGAAUCAGUAGGCUUGAAAUGGUGUAUGCAAGAAUUUGAGCUAAUUAUUAUGGUGUAGGUGUGCUUAUGUAGUACCCUUGAGUGCUAAGUUUGAAUGGGCUAGUAAUGUAGAAAUUAAUGUUGUUACCAGCUAAGUUGUGGGCUAUAGCAUGUUGAUAUCGGAUGUCUAAGUGUAAAGGUAAUUCUCAUGGUUUAGGGAGAAAUAUAAGUUUAGAUAUAUUAUAUUAGUAGGCUGUAAAGGUAGUUAGUAUGGUUCAUUAAGAUGUUGAGAAUAUCCAUGUUAAGUGAUAGAAUUUAAGCUUGAAUCUUUGAAGAUUGAGCUAAUGGGAAGUUGAGUUGAGGUACUACAUGGUGUGAACUCAUGGUAUGGUGAUACUCUUUGAAUUGUGAUACUCUAAGGUACUACAUGGUGUGAACUCAUGGUAUGGUAUGGGGAUAUAGAAAGAUAAGAAUUGUGUAUCAGAAAGAAGUACCAACAGUGGGUCUUACAUUAUCAGUUAUAGUAUUUUAGGGUAAGUAUAGUGCUUAUGUGCAUUAUUCUACCCCAGACUCUAGAGUAAAGUGGUGACAGUUAAGUUUAGCAUUGUUGAUUAAGUUUUCGUAGACUUAGAAUUAUAGCUUUAAGCCAAGGGGGAGAUGGUAGAACAAGUAACCAAGUUAGGCUCUCAAAUCCAUGCAGUGAGACCAGUAUGUAUAGAAAAGAAGUAGGAUAGGAUGAUGCCCGACCUGCUCUUAUUUCAGUGCAAGGUUUUUUAGUUAUCACGAUAUUUACUCAUGCCUUACAUGUUAUCUCUAUGAUCAUAUCUCAUAAUUGUACACAUUAUAGAAAAUUAUGUACUCUCCCAGUCCCUAGUAUGAGGAGUUCUAGUUCACCCAGUAGUACGAAUCAUGUUCCAUGAAUUCAGAAACUCCAAACUCAGGUCAUGCAUUUCAUGACUCAUGUAUUCAUGUUUUAUGGUAUGUUCAGUUUACAUGACUCAUGCUACACUCUUAAUGAUCAGCAAAAUUUAGAUUUGUGUCAUGUAUGUCCUCAGUUUAGACUUCUUUAAGGAAUUCAUGUCGUUUAUACUCUAUUCCUCAGGACCUAGUUAAAUGUCCAAGGUAUACAUGGUAUUUCUUCCAUGCUUUAGGAUCUCAUGUUCUAAAUUUUCAGUGACUUAUCCUUAUGAAAUGAUGUUGAUGAUGAGUAAUUUGUUUAGAUGUGAGAAAGUAAAUAUUUCAUGUUAAGGAAAGAUUGUUGCAUGAUUGUUUUACAUGAGGCUAUAGUUGUGAAGAUAUGCUUGAAUGUCAUGUUGGUGUGUAAGUGGAUAAAUGCACUAUACGUUAGUGAAUGGAUAGUAAGAGGUUGUAUUUAGUUGUUGAAGGGGUGAUCAGAAUUAUUCAGGGGAUGGGAAGUUAUGAAAAUGCAGUGUGUAUUGAAUUCAUGACUCAGACUAGUAUUACAGUGUUAUGUGUGCGUUUUAUAGAUUUGAGUAGGCUUGAACAUAGUAGGAGAAUUCAGUCCAGCUCAGACCUCAGUAGAUACAGUUAUCAAUGCCCAUGUGAAUAUUUUUAGUAGCCUCAAGUGAAGUGCGGCGUUGAAGUAGAAAGUAUACUUGAGGGAGUAGUUGAGAAGUGUGGCUAAGAUUGUAAGUUAGUAGUUGUAGUGCAUAAGGCUUAGUAACUCUGUCCUAGUUGAUGUUUAGUAGGCCUUUGUCCCAUAUUACAGAAUUUUAGCCAUGUUGUGAUUUCUUAUUCAGAUAUCCUAUUCAGAGCAUACCACGAUUAUUUUCUCCCUAAAGUCUUGAGAACUUCAUAGAAAGAGUAUCGAAGAAAUACUCUAGUUAAGUUUAAGCUUUCAAUAUGAGUUAGUUUGUAUAGCCAGUAAUUCAAUUUAGCAGUCAGGCAGACAAGUUACUAUAGUUUCAUCUCUCCUAUUGAGGAGGAAAUUCCUUCAUGACCAUGCAAGUCAUAACUUCAGUUCAUGAAUCAAGCAUCAGUUUCAGAUUUCAGGUAUUCAGUCAUGAUUCAGUUCAUAAGUGUCUCGUGUAUUAUCUCAAUCUUUCCUCAUUAUUUUAGCCAUGUCAGUGUCUUUUAGGGGACAUAAUAUCCUAAGGGGGAGAUGUAAUACAAUCCCCCAAGCUUUCAUUUCCUAAACCUUCCAUAUUCUAUUCACAUAACAAGAUCUAACUUGAAGUAAUGGGUACUCAUAACUUGAGUCUCGUUCCAAUCUCAGCCUUAUAAACUAUUCUCAUAUUAUUACGCGUAUUCAAGGAACUCAAUUUAGUUCAUGAUAUUAGGUUCAUACAUUAUGUUUUAGAUCCAGUUAUGUUCUCAUGUUUCCAAUUAUGCAUGUUCACUAUAUGAUCUCAUAUUCUUCAAUACUCUCAGCUAAACCAAUCAUAUUCGACGACGAAUGUUUCUAAGGGAGAGAUAUUGUAAUACCAUAAAAAUUCAAACCAAUAUUAGAACCAUGCUUCAAGCUCAUGCAAAAUAAAUUAUAGUGAUUUGGUAGUUUUACGAGUAAGUUUUAUUUAUAGUAAGGCCUCAAAUAACUCCUAGCUAUUAGACAAAUCAAAAUAUCUCCUAUCAAUUGAGUUCUUGAGAAGAAUAUUACUAUAGUCAAAUUCAAACAAAAAUAUAUUUCAUUUACAAAGAAUUUUUGAGCUCAUGACCCACCAACAUAUAGAUAAUUGGAUUAGCUUUCCAACGAUACCGAUUUUGACUAAAUCCAAUACCCGGGUGAGAAGUUAUGCCACUUUUAGUCAGAGGGAGUAGCUCAGUGCGAUCAUGCCACGUAAUGGUGAUCCCAAAAAUCACACUCGUCACUUUCUAGUAGCUCACCACGAUUGAUCAGUGUCGCACCAAAAAUCAAGGUGGAACAGGUAUCGCGUCACGGAGGAGUGCAAAUUCUCAUUUGUUUGUUUUCAGUGACGCAAUGCAAUAGCACCGCUUCACGCCAAGGUGUAAAAUCGGGAUCGUCCUUUUUCCAGUGACGCAAUGCGAUAUCACCGCAUCACGCCAAAGUGCAAAUUUGCACUCAUCCCUUUUCCAGUGGCGCAAUGCAAUAGCAUCGCAUCGCGCCAAAGUGUAAAAUUGGGAUUUCCAGUUCUGAGUUUUAAAUUUUCAAGGGUGGUUUAGUCUUUUUCCAAGCCCCCUGUAAUACCCCGCAUUUUGGGCUAGAAUGAAAAUCAUUAUUUUUAUGCGUAGAUGAUCCAAAAUCCAUAAAUCUUAUUCAAAUUUGGUAUGUUAAUCAAUUAUGUAGUGUGGGAACCUAUUGAGCAUGAAUUGAGAUCAUAGAGGUCCCCUAACUCAAGGACGAGUUGAAAGCUUUUCUAUCGUUCGAGUUUGAGUGAACGUCAAAACUUGGGUCAACCUCAAUCAAUCAUAACUCUUUGUAUAUAACCAAUUAGAAGGCCUACUAUAUAUCAAAUGAAAUUUCUUUGAGUUCUCCUUCUAACGCCACUGGUUUUGCUUUCAUCCGAUAUCGAAGUAGAAAGUUAUGCUUAUUUUACUUCGAAGUGGUGGUCUGCCAAAACGUGACUACGAGGCUGACGACUUAUUAGUUGUAUGAUGGCCCGUCAGACCUGGUCAUUAGCCUAAGGCAUUGAAUGGUGAAAACCAGCCCAAAAGUGAAGACCUGGGUGACGACUUAUCAUCUGAGUGACAGCCCGUCAACCGUGGUCGUCAACUGAUGCAAUUAUGCAAUUUUUUUGGGUUCCUUAGGGGUAUUUUGGUCUUUUACUCACUCCAAAAACCUUUCACACGAAUUAAAUCACCCCUUAAGAGUUAUUAAUCAAUUACUAUCAGUUUUACAACAUAAAAAACUUUCUGUUCACUCUCAAAAUAAGAUCAAACUAGGGUUUUCUCCAAGAACAAGAAAUUCAAGAAAAUCAAGCCUUAAGAUCAAGAUUUCCAAGGAACGAAUCGAAAUUAGAGUUCUUCUCUUUAAACUAAUUAAUUUGAGGUACGUUGUGUUUAUCCUAAAAAAACUACAUGGGCUUGGAAACAUUAGAACAUGAUUUAAAGAUUUUCAAGCAUGAUUUUAGAAAUGGGUUUUGAAAUACAUGAUUUUAUUAUGCAUUAUGAAUGUUAAAUGUAUUAUUGAUUUGGUCCUUAGGACUUCCCCCUAAAUUGAUUUACAUGUAUACGUAUAUGUAUGAAAUUUGAGAUUGAAGAUUGUUUGAGAGCAUAAAUUAUGGACUCCCCCUCUUGUGAUAAAUUAAAGAUUUUGAUUUUGUUGGAAAAGAGUUGAAAUGCAUGUUUUGUGAGUUGAAAGAUGUUUUGUCAAUGUUAUAGUAUUUGAACAUUGAUUUAGAAUUGUUGAGAGGGUGUAUUGAUAUAACUAUGUUUUGUGUUAAAGAGAAGAAUUGCAUAAGAUAGAGACUUUGGACAUGACCACCAUUGUUUGUUGAAUUAUUGAUAAAGAAAAUUGCUUGCAUGGUUUUACAUGAAUUUUAAAGCAUGAGUUUCUUGAAAGAAUUGUUGAUAUGGUGGUACUGAAUUUCAUGAUUUGAAAACAGAGAUAUAAUUUGAUAUAAAUGGCUCAGAGAAUGUGACUUGCAAGUCAAUGGUAUGACGAUACCAUAUAUGUGUAUGCCAUGAUAGAGUUAAAGAUUUCAAAGUAUGUUUUCAGAGCAUGCAUGUUUAAAGAACUAAAAAUAGGCAUAAAGAGAGUUAGGUGGUUACCCGAAUAAGGCAUGAGUUCAAGUAACUCUUAGCCUAAAAUCGUAUUUUCUGAUACAGGUAGAUCAUCGACGGCCGUGUGGCGUAGUAGAUUCAGAGACUCCGACCCUUGCAGCACACUUGGGUUGGGGGCUUGGUUGCCGAGUUAAUGGCAGAUUCCAUAUAGCAUGUGGGAUUACAGAUUGUAGGGUACACCACUGUCACGACCCAAAUUGAGGCCCUGACCGUGACGAGCAUUCUCGAACCGUGAAUGCCCGAGACGCCCUCUGUCUAUCUGGUAAUCAUGCGCAACAUUCAUAUAAUAAAAGAUAAUGCGGAAAUAGAAAUCUAAUACAAAAAUAUGGUCAGUCUGAAUGUGAUCAUAAUACUGAAAAAUUGAGAUCCAAAAUAUAUCUGGAUAAUAAUAAUGUCUGACUCAGUCUGCGAAAUCUCUACUAUGAACUAAACAAAAUUGUCUGAAAACUGGGACAAGGCCCCCAGUAGACCAAAACAUGACUAAAGAUAAAUAUCUGAAAGUAAAAAGGCCUUCUGAAAUAUAGAAGGCUUACCCCUGCACAAUCUGCUCUGCGAUCUGAAUUAUCUACUAUUUAUCUGGACCCCAAGACUGUGUCUCAAAACCUGGAACGAGGGGGGGUCAGGAAAAAUGUACUGGCACGCGAAGCAAUCCAAAAUAAAUUAUUUGAACAUAUAUAUAAUAGAUGAGAACAAUUUUCAUCAACACAUCAUGUAUAAAAUAGCUUCUGAAAACACAUGGGCAUCAUUCAAAAAUCAUAAGACAUUUUUGUCAAAACAAUUUUUGAUAUUUGUAUUACUUCUGAGUUAGGUGACACUCCUCUACAAGUUUGAUAUUCCACGGGCUAUAUGGAAUCUGCCAUUGACUCGGCAGGGAAGCCCUUAACCCAAGUGUGCCGCAAGGGUUGGAGUGUCUGAGUCUGAUACGCCACACGAUACUUAACCCAACGUAUAAUAAUAUACCUGGAUCGGCAAAUCAUGGUUUUGGGCAAUGAGUUGUCUGAACUCAUGCCUUCUUUUGGGACCACCUAACAUCUCUUUAUGCCCAAUUUUUAACCUUUUCUGAACAUGUAUCAUUCUGAAAUUUCUUAAUCAUGAAAGUCUGAUAAAAUCUAAUUUCUGAACUAGUAUGUGUCUGUUAUGGCAUUUGUCUGAGUUAGUAUCGUCAUACCAAGACUUUCAAGUCCUAUUUUUGAGCCAUAAUGCAUUUAGCAUGAUCUUUCAUAAAAGUGUAGUUUCAGACCACCCAAACAUGUAAUUUACAUAAAAGAUUUCAUGUUCCGAAACUCAAGUCAAAACCAUGCAAAAACUUUCAUCAAACAUAUGGUGGUCAUGUGAUUUUGGCAAAACUAUGCACUCUUUCAUUAUAUGUGUAUUCAAUAUUUACAACCCUUUCUUUCAUGUUCAAAAUCGUAUUCCAAACAUAGCAAAGUCAAAGCAUUUCAUAUCAUGAUUUUUCAAGACGUAUUUCAAAACAAUCUAUAUCAUGUGAAACAUGGAAAAAUUACAUCAAGAGAGGGAUUUCAUGUAAAUCGUGCUCUCAAUUCAUAUUUCAAGGCAAAACACAUAUAUACAUAUACAUAUAAUUUUCAAGUCACUUUGGGAGAAAGCCAAAAGGCUAAAACAAUGUUAUUUAAAGCUUCUAAAACAUGAAUAUGUACAUGAAUUCGAAAACCCCUUUCUUAAAGCAUGAUUUCUAUGCCCAUGAGAAUUAGAAAAACCCCACAUAUCUCUAUUUAAGAAAUUGAGGGAUGAUCCUUGAAGCCUACGAUGUGGGGAUUCCAAAUCUCCAAUUAUCUUUCAAAACCCACGGUUGAAUCUUGAGUUAGUUGAGAUUUUUGUUUGAACCCCUAAGGGAUGUUCUUGAGAGAAAAUUUGAGAAAAUAAUUAUAUUUUGAUGAAUUGGGGGCUAAAUCUAGCGUUAUAGAUGAAAUUUGGGUGAGGUGAAAUGAAUAAAAUGCCCCUAAGAAAACAAACAAAGUCGAAACUGUCCCUCAGUUGACAAGCUGACAGGCUGAAGUAAAAUAGGUAUAACUCCAUACUCAGAUGUUGGAUUUGGAUGAAACCAGUUGCAUUAGAAAGAAGAAUAAAAUAUAUUUCAUUUGAUAGGUAGAAGAUCUCUCAGUUCAUUACAUUUAGAGAUUUAUGAUCAUUUGAAGUUGAACCUGAAAUGCUGAAAACUAGGCAACAGACUAUGCGUUUUGCUACUGUUUUGAAAUCCAAACGCAGCCUUAUGCGUUCCGAAAAAUUUCAAAACUUAUCCGAGAUGUAUUAUGAGAUUUUUUGAUCAUAACGCAACUUUAAAAUAUAAAAAUGGAGGACAGGAAGGUUAAAAAGUUGUAUUCCAAAGAUUGCCAGCUAAAAUGACUGUAAGUUCUCAUUACACUUAGAAAAUUUUUCAAGUUUUUAAGUCUAAGAUCACUCUAUUAAAGGAUAAUCCAUGCACGACUUUUACAGGGUGUUACAAUCACCUAGCACAGAAGUAAUACAAAGAGUGUCACAGAAUUCAAAUGUUUUCCCAGAGUCUUUUAAAAAUGUCAUGUGAUUUCUUAAUAUAUGAUAUGUUUAUGAACUGUUUUAAAUUUCUCUCAUAUAUGUUGAAUAUAAAUAAUUAUUUUAGAUUUGAUCUGCGUACCAGUACAUCUGUAUUGACCGUCUUCCCCUACCUCUCAGGUUAUGAGGCUCAGUCUAGGGGUCUUGAUAAGUAGUAGAUAUUUCGGACAGCAGGGCAGAGUUCAGUGGUGAGCCUUCUAUAUUCUAGAAGGCCAAAUAUUUUACAGUUAUUCUAUCAUUACUAUAGUUUUGGUCUACUGGGGGCCUUGUCCCGGAUUUCAGACAGUAUUAUUUUGAGAGAUAGUAGAGAUUUUGCAGACUGAGUUAGAUGUUAUUUAGACGUUGCUGAAUUGCAGUUUCAUCAUUAUUUUUUAAUUCAGAUUUGACCAUGAUUCCAUAUUAUAUUUUGUUCGACAUCUUCUAUUAUUGUAUGAACGUUAUGUAUGUCUACCAGAUAAAGAGGGGCGUCCGAACCUUCAUGGUUCUGGAUGCUCAUCAUGGAUAGGGCCUCGGUUCGGAUCGUGACACCUCCAAUUCGUGAAAAUAAGAGAUUAAACCUAUUCUAAGCCUAGUACUCUCAUUAUUCACCAAAAUUUUCUCCAAGAAAAUCCUAAAGCUUUACCUUUCAAGAUCAAUUCCCACGAAAAUCCACCAAGGACUUUCAAGGAUUCUUUAAUUGAGGUAUGUUAAAUGUUCAUCCAUGCGUCCUUUCCACCCAUGGAGUCCAAGAACCCAAUUUCAAAUUCAAAGUAGUGAUUUUUACAAGUUAUUGAGAUUUUAACCAUGAAUCCCCAUGCAUUUUGAUUUCUAUACCAUGUUUAAAUGUAAUUGAUGUUGUUAUAAAUACGCAUACGUUUGAAUGGUGUUGUUCGUUGAAUUAAAUCUUAAUUGAUGAUUUUAGUAGUGAAAUCAUGCUAUUACAACAAGUUUUAAAACUAUUCUCAUGCUUAGCUUAAACCAUGAAUUACAAGUGUAUGAUGAAAUGCCCACAAGAAUGAGUUUUGAAUAAAUGCUUACAUAUCAUGUCCUCAAAGUUUUAGUACGGCCUUGCUAUCAUUGUUAUCAAGUCCUGGGGGUUUGAAUAUCUGGAAUUUAGCUGCUUACCUAGUUUUCAGUAUUUAUAAAAUGGUUACAGAAUAGUUACGAGCCCUAUCUUUUCAGUUAGUAUUUUUAAUAGUUAAGCAUAGUCAGUUCAAUAUUUCAGGUCUUUCAGUUGGGAGUAGGAUUUAGCACCGAGUGAAUAUAGGGAUAAAGACUUCUCUGCCAGUUAGGAAGAGUCGUUAGUAGCAGUCCUUGCAUUCUAGAACUACAUAACCAGCGUAGGAUAUGAGGAGUCACCCGUCAGUUUAGGCUUGACUCUGUCCAGGUGUCACUUGUCAGUUUAGGGUUGACAUCCUGGUUGUUUAGUAGCUUAGUGGAUCCAUGCAAUCAUGUGUUAGUACCCAUGGCACGGUACGUCACUCUUUCAACUGGGGUCAUAGGUUGGACCUCAAUUUGCUCAUUGGGGCAUGUCGGUUAGAUGAUAGCUUCCACAGUCUCAGUUCAGUAUUCAGUAUACUUCAGUUCAAGUUUGCAUUGACCAUCACAUAUAGAUAUAAUUUAUUCAGUUAUCAGAUUUCAGUAUUUCAAUUUACAGACUAUUUUUAGAAUCAUAUUAUAUGCUUGGUCAUGUAUUCUCAGAUUUUACAGUUUUCAUGCAUUCUCAGAUUUUAUAGCUUUCACGCAUUUAUAUUCAGUAAUCUCAUAAUAACCAGUCAGUCUUUACUUCAUGAAUGUUCACUCAGUUAUCUCAUGUUAUUCAUCCAUUUAUUACUUCAUAUUCAGUUAUCCCAUGCUAAUCAUUCAGUCAGUUAUUACUCAUGCACAUGAAAUAAUGCAUAUUAGCCUAACCUUAUUUAGUAUACCAGUAUAUUCAAAGUACUGAUUGCAUACUCGUUUUUUGCGCUAUGAUGUUUAAUAUCAUAGGUUCGGACGCUCAGUUCCCUAAUCAUGCAUAGGCAUACCAGAUUAUCUGUUGUAGCAGUGGUGAGUCCUCAUACUUUGAGGACAGGGGUUAUUUACCUCAGUUUAUUUUUAUUCAGUCAGAGUUAGUUGGGGGUUUGUCCCAUCAACUCCACAGUCAGUUAAUUAGAGGCUUUCAGGCACUUUUAGUCAGUUAUUCAGUUAUUAGAUGAUAUUGACAAUCUUACAAUAUCAUUUUCAGACAGAUGUUUUCAGUAUUUCGAUUCAGUAUCAUUUUUUGUAUUUAAACCUUAAGGAAUUUUGAGUUAAGUUCCGCACAUGUUCCCUGUCAUUCUAUUCAGUGCUCACAGCAGGUACCAAUGGGGGUUAGCUUGUAGUUACUUGUGACCGUAAGCACCGUGUAGCGCCCAAGGGGUAAUCUCGGGGCGUUACGGUGGGUACUUAGUGCUUCUGGGAAACAGUCCCAUCAGUUGGAAGUCCAAGAAACAAGACACUAAUUCCCUAUCAUCUGCAGAAGCAGAGUACAUAUUCUUAAGGAAAGUGGUGGGUGAGCUGGUGUAGCUAGACAAGAUGUUUAAUGAGCUAAACAUUUAUCAUCCAUCUUCUAUUGAAGUGUAUUGUGACAGCCAAUCAGCAAUACACAUAGCUCAAAAUCAAGUCUUUCUUGAGCGUACGAAGCACAUUGAAGUUGACUGCCAUUUUGUUAGGAAAAAUCUUCAGGAGGGGCUUUUCACUCUUCAUCAUGUUGCUACCAAUGAUCAGUUAGCAGAUAUCCUCACAAAAGCACUCACUGGAGUUAAACAUUCCCAUGUUCUGUCCAAGUUGGCCGUGAAGUCAUCACCUCCAACUUGAGGAGGCAUAUUGAAGAUUAAUUAUAUCUGUGCUUUGCGUUAAUCAGGAUUAGUAAUUAGUUAGUUAAUUGUAGGUUAGGAGUUAGUUAGUUAGUUGAUUGGUU